GAAUUGAAUCGAUUUAGCCACAUUUGAAUUUCAAAAUUUAAAUUUAUUACAUCCUCCUCUUUUCUUAUUAUUACACAAACAAAUGCCCCCACCUUUUUUUUAGCUUGCUGAUUGUGCAAGAAAGGAAAAAAGGUACUAUUCGUACUAGGCCUAUGAACUUCACAUCAUAAAAUUUGUCAUGUCUUUUUUCUGAAGCUAAGCUCGGAUUGUAAGUAUUUCACCUUCUCUUUUCUUUCCUUUUUAUAGCAAAUAUAUGAUAAUGCUAUCAUAUCAUGUAUUCAUUUUAUUUUAUUUUAUUUUUAUGUCUUCACGUAGAAGAUGGAGCACCUGAUUCAUCCUGAUGACAAAAUCUUAGGCAUGGCAAGAGGUAUUUCUCUAGUUCGGGCUUCUUCAAUUCAUAAUAGUAGAACGGAUCCAAUUAUUCCUUACAAUAGACCCGUGUUUAAGGAAUGGGCGGUUUUUAAGCAAAAACAACCCUUAGGUCGUUUUGGUCCUCAUUAUUACACACCUGACGGUAAGGAAGAUGUCGUACUUUUUCCACCUUUAGGUUUACCCAAAGAGAGGGAUACAUUGGAAUCUUUAUGUUACAAAAUAUUGAAUGGUCAUCCAAGCUGCGGGGGGUAAAGAUAGGCCACUGGGAGAUAGUGAAGAUAUUGAUGGUUUUGAGAGUUAGGCUGAUUAUAUUUUGUCACGAUAUACCUCACAAUUACAGGAUGCGGGAAUUUUUGGUGGUAUAGUUGCUUCACGAGGAAAGUAUCAUAAAAACAUGAACAUUAUUAAAGCACUCGUAGAGUUGUGGUGUUCAGAAACGAAUACAUUUCAUUUGCCAUACGGAGAAGUUGGAAUUUCCUUGUGGGAGAUUAAAGAACUAAGUGGUCUUCCUAUUACGGGUCAUCUAUACGAUGAAUAUAUUCCUAUGAAUUCGGAAUUAUAUAAUAAAAAUGCUUAUCCAGACUGUCUUAGAGAGCUUUUUGAUGUAUAUCAAUGGAUUAUGACUCGAUCGUCUUGCAAGCGAAUUCGUUAUGAUUUGUGGGUGAACUUCUUCCAUCCAAGUGCAAAGAGAUCGCGUUCCUCCAGGUACAAGGACAUCAAUGAUAAAAAAUUCACACCUUCAUACACAGAAGACACAACUAGAGCUGCUUUUAUUUCUUUAUGGUUAUGCAAUUUUGUGAUGCCCUCAAGUUCAGAUCAUUUUAUUAGACCCGAAGUAUUCGUUAUGGCUUCUAAGCUAGCAUUAGGCGAGAAAAUUGCUUUGGUUCCUGCUAUUUUAUGUGCAAUUCACAUAGCACUAUCAUAUAUGAGUAAUCACCCAGAUGGUCCUGCACAUCCUGGUCCUCAAUUUCCUGUUAAUUUCUUGUAUGCUUGGAUCGGUUUGCAUUUUGAGCAAACUUAUUCUAGAAAAGCUAUAAGCGAUGACAUUAAAAAUAUUGUUGGUUUGAGGAGUAUUCCACAAAUGAUAUCAUUUAUGAAUGCUGCUGCUUCGCCAUUCAAUGCUAAAAGAGCCAGAAUUCAUCUUAGAUCCAGUGUUCAUUUCAUAUGGCGCCCUUUACCUUAUUCUUAUUCUUUCGUCGAUGGUGGAUGGUUGUAUGAUGCGAAGCUUACAACAGGAGAAUGUCGAUAUCCAACAGAAGUUUAUGAAUAUCUUAUUUCUAUUAGACAGAGUGUUAUUCCGCUUCGUUUAAGGAAUAAACUGCAUGCUCAACCAUACAAUCCUCAUCGAUUUUCACGUCAAUUCGGAUUCGAUCAAUACUUUCCAGAAUUUAUUGAUGUCCCUAGAAUAGCUGAUUCUAUCGGGACUUUGAUCGGGUAUUGGGAUCAUUUCCUUCAGUAUGGAAAUUCGGCUAAUUAUUAUAUACCUAAAGUUGAUCUAGUUGGAAAAGUUCUUUUGCAUUGUGCACGUUGGUGGUCCAACAGUGUUCAUUCAAGCUUUAGACAUGGUGUAGCUUACUUAUUAGAUGCCGAUGAACGUCAAAAGAAGAGAAGAACCGAAGAUGCUCUGAAGAAAGAGAAAGGAACUACUUCAUGAUUUAUCAGCUUUACGCAACACAAGGUGUCGGGUUCCACAACAUCAACCAAAGAACCAAUCGUGGCAUUUCCAUUUCCCCCUUCUUAUGAUCAUAUUCAGGCCAGCUUUCCAGAUAAUACUCCUCAACGUGAAGUACUUGGUCUUAGCUUUCCGAUUCAUAAUGAGGUAUCUUAUUUCUUUUCUUUUCUUUUCUUUUCUCUCUUUUUUUUUUAUUUUAUGGUUCCAAAAUUUUGUCAAGGGUACUUCUAUGGAGGCAUGUACCAACAUAUUUGAAGUUCAUCCGACCAAUAUCGAGACUUUUAAGGUAUUUUAUACCUUUUCUUUUGAACACUUACAUAGAGAAUGUGGACUCAAAAAUGCUCUUUUGCAUAAUAUUGUACAAACUCCUAUGGUAAACUACUUUUUCUUCCCUCUUUUUUUUAAUUGUAUUUUUUUUAUACAGACAUGUAAUAUGGAAUCGUCUUCACAAAACAACAAGGAUCCAUCACCGAACAUCGUAGCUGAUGUAACUCGCAAGAAACUUUCUCUUAAUGUAUCUUCAAUAAUAGGUGAUGUUUUUUUUUUUUUAACAUUCUUUUUAUAUGUGCAUGUGGAAUAGAUCAUACUUAUUUUGAAUAACAUACUGACCAAUAGAAUCACAAACCGGAGGGGCUGGGACCAUGGAGGAUGAUAUAUCUCCGUAUGAUGAUGAAUUGGUUGAUUACAGGUCAACACCUUCGCCACCAAAGUAUAUUGAGGUAACUUUAUUUUUCGGUUAAUCCAUAUGCCUUCUAUUAGUCUUAAACUAAGCAUUUGAUUCUCAGCUAGAGAAGGGGUAAGAUAUAGAUAAUAAUGUGUAAUUUUUCAUUAGAAAUCUGUAGCCGCAAAAAUUUUGUAAAUUGGAGCUAUAACGAAAAUGUUAUGGCCCAUUUACAUUUUGGUCCCUAUAUUUACAAAGCAGUCCCUGCAGCCUCAUUGUCCUUUGAUUUUUGAUGCAAAUCUAUAUUCUCGAUCUUUCUUUUUGGUCCAAAAUUGCUCUCAAGGAAUUCAUGGCUGCAAAAGUGCAUAAGUUAGGAUUACAACGGAAAAGUUGUAGCCCGUUUACAUUUUACUCCCUGUUUUUUUUUUACAAAACAGUCCAUGCAGCAUGUAUCUUCAAUUUUGCUCUGAAUAUCAGCAUAUGGUUCCCCCUUUUUUGUUGCAGGAUCCACUCACAGAUGUUGCAGAUAUUGGAGUGUCUUCUUUCAGUGAAGCUUACCCAACUCAUCAUGAGGUAUGUAUUUGUUUUAAACUUCAUCCAUUGAAGGCUAGAGUAUUUUCCUUUCUUCUUUUUCUUUGUUUUUUUUUUUUUUUUUUAGGUCAAAAUUGUUCUAAGCUUAAUUUCAUAUCACGCUCGUAGUCACAUAUUAAGCGUAUUUACUAUUCUUUUACACCAUAACUCUGUUGUUUAGGAUAAGGGUGCUAAAGAAGAGGAUGAAAGUAUAGUAAAGAAAAGCAAAAAUGAAGUUACAAUAGAAAUGCCUUCACUAGGUAAAAGAGAGCGAGUCAUUGAUAUUUCGACUAUGGAAGCACAUAAGAGAGCUCGUUUGGAGACCAAUUUAAAUUCAACUAGUAAGGCCUCACUUUUUUUCUUCUUGUCAAAGUUUCUUUUAAUACAUGAAAAGGCAGUAUGCCCCAUGAAAGCAUCCCGUAUAUUAUCUAUAUAUUUUUUGUUGUCUCUCUCCUUUUUUUUUUUUCAUUUUUGUGCACAGGUUUUCCGGUAGAGUCAAAAGCGAAUAAUGAUCCGGAAGAUGCUUUAUCACCUUACGGUGACGAAGUGGACUACGAGCCUACACCUUCACCACCUGAACCUUUUAAAAAUAAUGAUAUGGUGAAAUUUUAUAUAUUCAUAUAUUUCUUCUUCUCAUUUUCUUUCCCUUUUUUUAUUCUUUUCUUCUCUUUCUCUCUUUUUUUUUUUUUAUAGGAUGUACCAUUUGACGAGAAUGUCGACAUUCGCUUAGAUAGUGGCGCAAGAGAUUUCCGAAGCGAGACACCUAUUAUAGCCAAGUCAUUUUUGAUCGAUCGCAUAAUGGAUACCAUGAAGACAUUCAAUUGUCGCAAAUUUAGGUCGGCUCGAGAAGAAGUAUCAAAUAUUGCCAAUGCUUAUCUGCACUCGGGAUCGAUACGUCUGAAUUGGAAAGGCGCGUAAAACCUAUAUUUGACCAUGCAGAGGUCAUUGAAGAACAGGAAUCAAGUCCAAAUUUUAUUUCAGCUGUUCGACUCAUGAAUGCUGAUGAGAAUCUGGCACUAAGAAAAAGAAAACUUGCUUCCCACAUUAGUACAAAAAGUUCUCUCCUUUAAGCUACUGGAAGUGUCUCUUUAGAGCUUCAACAAACCAGAGAGAAAAUAAGAGAAUUAGAAGAGAGUAUAUUGCAUUUGAAAAGUACAGAAGCGGAAUUGACACUUAGACUCGAAGUGGCUGAUGACUCCUUAAAGAAACUAACACCGACUGAAGAAGAACUGCAAAAGGAUGUCAUUGAUGCAGAAAAGGAGCAUGCUGCAGCCAUUGAAGGUUGUAAUGAUUCUAAAGAAUCCACUGGUCUUCGAGAAUUAAUAGAACUGUUUGAGGAGCGUCGUCAAAUAUUUGAAAUUUGACUUCUUCUUUUCUUCUCUUUGUUAUUUUUGUUUGUCACGAAUGUUAUUUUUGUUUGUCACUAAUAAGAAACAAUAUUUUGUAGUCUCAAUAGUUUGAAUGCUUUGGAUUAUGCUUGGGUAAUAUUGAUCAAGUUCAUAAGUAUUUGAUCUCCUCAUUUUUUAUAUUGUGUUACACUGUGACAAUGGUUAUCUUGUGAGAAUGAAUUUGUUUUGUUUAUUUUGCCUCGAUAAGCAACUAAAAUCACCGCGCAUAACCAACUCUAAAUUGGGUUAGCAUUCUGUCAUUUAAAUAAAUUUUAGCUAGAUACUCUCUCCCAACUUUUAUUUAUGAGUCUCGAGAAAUUUUCUCAAAACAAAGAUCCUUAAUUUGGCACAGCUAACAUUUCAUAUUUUUAUCCCCGAAGUCCGAUGUUAAAAAUCAAGUAUGUUUGUGGCUCAAGUCCGUUAAUGGACUAAUUAAAGACACGGUCAAUCGAAAUUAAAAUGGCGGUCAAUUGGAAAAUAGAUAUGAUUUUAGCAACGUGAUAGAUUUCCACUAGAUAUCUCCCCUAAUUUUUGCCUAGGGUUCUCAAAAGUUUUCCCACCAUCUCUUUUUUUUUUUUAACAUAAUAUUUCUUUAGGAAAUGACCAUUGAUAGGUGGCAUCGGUCUUUCACCUUUGACGUUAAUUAAUUGAUAGGCACCGCUUUCAUAAACUUUCUCCACUACAUAUGGGCCUUCCCAAUUUGGAUCAAACUUCUUUCCAGUGUGUUUAUUGAUUAUAAUCGAUCUACGAAGAAUGAGCACCAACUCCCCAACACUAAAGGUGCAGUACCGGGUGAGCUUAUUAUAUGCUCUUACCAUCUGGGUUUGGUAGAGUUCCAAAUUCUGUUGGGGAGUUAACCCGACUUCAUCUAAUGUAUCUAGCUCAUCAAGUCUGAGUAAAGCAUUUUCUUCAUUUGUUAAUUCAUGUUGAACUGCUAUUCGCAAUGAGGGCAAUUCAACUACUAAUGGUAAUACUGCCUUAGUGCCAAACACCAAAGAGUAGGGUGUUGCUUGAGUUGGCGUUCUAUAUGUGGUUCGAUAGGCCCAAAGAGCUUCUAUGAUUCGCAUAUGCCGUUCUUUUUGAUUUUUGCCAAUGAUUUUCUUUAAUAGUUUUAUCAAAGUCUUUUUAAAGGUUUCAGCCAAUCCAUUAGCCCUUACAUUAUAUAUUGAAGAAUACCGCCAAUCAAUUUUUUGUUGAGUAGCAAAUCUAUUGACUUUGAAACUCUUGAAGGCAGUUCCAUUAUCAGAUAUAAUUCGUCUUGGAACUCCAAAUCGAUAUAGAAUAUUUUCUUUAAAGAAUUUGACAACAUCAUCUGCUUUUACCUCUCUCAGUGGGAUUGCCUCAACCUAUCUAGAAAAAUAAUCUGUAGCAGCAAGAAUAAACUUAUGCCCCCUGGAAGACGGUAGAUUGAUAGGCCCAUCACAUCUGUUCCCCACAUAUCAAAUGGCCAUGAGGCGAUUGUAGGAUGCAAGGGGUUUGGAUGUUGAUGAAUGAAGUCACCGUGGAUUUGACAUUGAUGGCAUUUUCUAGCAUACAUUAUACAAUCUUGUAUCAUUGUUGGCCAAUAAUAUCCCAAAUGUUUAAUUUUGAGGCGCAUUUUUGGCCCUGAUUGGUGUGCUCCGCAAACACCCGAAUGAACUUCAUGCAUGACUUGUUUAAUCUCAUUUGGUGAUAAACAUUUAAGCCAUAACUGAUCAUAAGAUCUACGAUAAAGUUGAUUAUUAACGAAUACAUAUCUCAUUGCUCUUUUCUUAAUUUGUGCUUGUUUUGACUUUUCUUCUGGCAGUUUAUUAUAUUUGAGAAAAUCGAAGUUUAUUAUAUUUGAGAAAAUCGAUGAACGGUUCUCUCCAAUCAUCUUCUAUAUCGAUAUUUGCAACUUCAGCCUCAUUCGUAUCUUUUUCUUGAUUUAAGUCAGCCAGGGAUAAUAUUUUUCAAUUCCGUAUAAUUAUUUGGACCUCAUUCAUGGUGGGAUCAGCAAGCUCUUUAGCCAAUCUAGCUAGGGCAUCGGCUUUUCCAUUUAUAGCCCUGGACACUUUUUCCAUUUUUAUACAUGGGAUUUUCUUCAUAAGAUAUUUUACUUUUGUUUGAUAUUCGACCAACUCAGGUUUAUGUACUUUAAACUCCCCUUCAACUUGGUUGAUGAUUAAUUGGGAGUCUCCAUAGAUAUGCAAUUUUUGUAUGUUCAACUGGAAUGCAAUUUCCAAACCAGCAACAAGGGCUUCAUACUCAGCCUCAUUAUUUGUGCGAGGUUCAGAAAGAGCUAAUGAGUAUCUUAAAAUGCCUCCUUCAGGUGUUACAAAGAUUAACCCUAUCCCAGCCUUAAUCUUAGGGAUAUUUGGACUGAAAGCUGGUUGAAUUGAGGAUGCACCGUCAAAAUACAUUUUCCAAUAGGGUUGGUCUUCUUCAGUAAACAUGAUAUGCUCAUCGAGCAAAUCACAGAUCAAAGGUGAGUCAUCUGGAAUUGGGUGCGCGGCUAGAAAAUCAGCAAGUGCUUGACCUUUGAUGGCUUUCUGUGGUACAUAAGUAAUGUCAAACUCAAGGAGUAUAACAGCCCACUUCGCCAACCUUCCAGUUAAAACUGGUCUUGUCAUUAAGAAUUUAAGUGGGUCCACCCUCGAAAUUAAAUGGAUUUUAUGUUCCAACAUAUAAUGUCUUAAUUUCUUAACGGCAAAUAUGAGGGCUAGACAGUGCUUUUCAAUUGGUGAGUAAGAAUUUUCUGCCCCCACUAACAUCAUGCUGAGAUAAUAUAGAGCAUUUUCCUUUCCUUCUUCAUUGUUUUGAGCAAGAAGUGCACCCAGCGAUCCUUCAAGUGCAGCGGUGUAUAAAAUUAAUGGCCUACCAUGGAUAGGGGCAGCAAGCACUGGGGGACUUAAUAAAUAUUUCUUAAUGUCGUCAAAUGCUGUUUGACAAUCAUCGUCCCAUAUAAAAGGCGCAUCCUUUUUCACCAAUUUGGAAAACGGUUUAAUUCUGCCAGAUAGAUUUGAUAUAAACCUUCUGAUAAAGGCCAAUCUUCCUUGAAAGGAUCUUAAUUGCUUCAAAUUCUUUGGAGGUGGCAAUUCCAUGAUAGCCUUGAUUUUUGCCGGGUCGAUUUCAAUUCCUCUAUGUCUAACAAUAAACCCGAGGAAUUUGCCUGAAUAAACUCUAAAUGCACAUUUAAGAGGGUUCAUUUUCAGAUUAUAUUUUCUUAAUCUGGUGAAAACUGUUCUCAAGUCUUCAAAAUGAUUUGCUUUAUUCACAGUUUUGACCACCAAGUCAUCAACAUAACACUCAACAACCUUGUGGAGCAAAUCAUCAAAAAUUAUUGUCAUAGCCCUUUGAUAAGUGGCUCNGCCUAGGGGUCUCAAAAGUUUUCCCACCAUCUUUUUUUUUUUUUUUAACAUAAUAUUUUUUUAGGAAACGGCCAUUGAUAGGUGGCAUCGGUCUUUCACCUUUGACGUCAAUUAAUUGAUAGGCACCGCCUUCAUAAACUUUCUCCACUACAUAUGGGCCUUCCCAAUUUGGAUCAAACUUCUUUUCAGUGUGUUUAUUGAUUAUAAUCGGUCUACGAAGAACGAGCACCAACUCCCCAAUACUAAGGGUGCGGUACCGGGUGAGCUUAUUAUAUGCUCUUGCCAUCUGGGCUUGGUAGAGUUCCAAAUUCUGUUGGGCAGUUAACCUGACUUCAUCUAAUGUAUCUAGCUCAUCAAGUCUGAGUAGAGCAUUUUCUUCGUUUGUUAAUUCAUGUUGAACUGCUAUUCGCAAUGAGGGCAAUUCAACUUCUAACGGUAAUACUGCCUCAGUGCCAAACACCAAAGAGUAGGGUGUUGCUUGAGUUGGCGUUCUAUAUGUGGUUCGAUAGGCCCAAAGAGCUUCUAUGAUUCGCAUAUGCCAUUCGUUUUGAUUUUUACCAAUGAUUUUCUUUAAUAGUUUUAUCAAAGUCUUAUUAAAGGCUUCAGCCAAUCCAUUAGCCCUUGCAUUAUAUAUUGAAGAAUACCGCCAAUCAAUUUUGUGUUGAGUAGCAAAUCUAUUGAUUUUGAAACUCUUGAAGGCAGUUCCAUUAUCAGAUAUAAUUCGUCUUGGAACUCCAAAUCGAUAUAGAAUAUUUUCUCUAAAGAAUUUGACAACAUCAUCUGCUUUUACUUCUCUAAGUGGGAUUGCUUCAACCCAUCUAGAAAAAUAAUCUGUAGCAGCAAGAAUAAACUUAUGCCCCCUGGAAGAUGGUGGAUUGAUAGGCCCUAUCACAUCUGUUCCCCACAUAUCAAAUGGCCAUGAGGCGAUUGUAGGAUGCAAGGGGUUUGGAUGUUGAUGAAUGAAGUCACCGUGGAUUUGACAUUGAUGGCAUUUUCUAGCAUACAUCAUACAAUCUUGUAUCAUUGUUGGCCAAUAAUAUCCCAAAUGUUUAAUUUUGAGGCGCAUUUUUGGCCCUGAUUGGUGCGCACCGCAAACGCCCGAAUGAACUUCAUGCAUGACUUGUUUCAUCUCAUUUGGUGAUAAACAUUUAAGCCAUAAUUGAUCAAAAGAUCUGCGAUAAAGUUGAUUAUUAACGAAUACGUAUCUCAUCGCUCUUUUCUUAAUUUGUGCUUGUCUUGACUUUUCUUCUGGCAGUUUAUUAUAUUUGAGAAAAUCGAUGAAAGGUUCUCUCCAAUCAUCUUCUAUAUCGAUAUUUGCAACUUCAGCUUCCUUCGUAUCUUUUUCUUGAUUUAAGUCAGCCGGGGAUAAUAUUUUUCGAUUCCGUAUAAUUAUUUGGACCUCAUCCAUGGUGGGAUCAGCAAGCUCUUUAGCCAGUCUAGCUAGGGCAUCGGCCUUUCCAUUUAUAGCCCUGGACACUUUUUCUAUUUUUAUACAUGGGAUUUUCUUCAUAAGAUAUUUCACUUUUGUUUGAUAUUCGACCAACUCAGGUUUAUGUACUUUAAACUCCCCUUCAACUUGGUUGAUGAUUAAUUGGGAGUCUCCAUAGAUAUGCAAUUUUUGUAUGUUCAACUGGAUGGCAAUUUCUAAACCAGCAAUAAGAGCUUCAUAUUCAGCCUCAUUAUUUGUGCGAGGUUCAGAAAGGGCUAAUGAGUAUCUUAAAAUGCCCCCUUCAGGUGUUACAAAGAUUAACCCUAUCCCGGCCUUAAUCUUAGGGAUAUUUGGACUGAAAGCUGGUUGAAUUGAGGAUGCACCAUCAAAAUACAUUUUCCAAUAGGGUUGGUCUUCUUCAGUAAACAUGAUAUGCUCAUCGGGCAAAUCACAGAUCAAAGGUGAGUCAUCUGGAAUUGGGUGCGCAGCUAGAAAAUCAGCAAGUGCUUGACCUUUGAUGGCUUUCUGUGGUACAUAAGUGAUGUCAAAUUCAAGGAGUAUAACAGCCCACUUUGCCAACCUUCCAGUCAAAACUGGUCUUGUCAUUAAGAAUUUAAGUGGAUCCACCCUCGAAAUUAAAUGGAUUUUAUGUUCCAACAUAUAAUGUCUUAAUUUCUUAACGGCAAAUAUGAGGGCUAGACAGUGCUUUUCAAUUGGUGAGUAAGAAUUUUCUGCCCCCACUAACAUCCUACUGAGAUAAUAUAGAGCAUUUUCCUUUCCUUCUUCAUUGUUUUGAGCAAGAAGUGCACCCAGCGAUCCUUCAAGUGCAGCGGUGUAUAAAAUUAAUGGCCUGCCAUGAAUAGGGGCAGCAAGCACUGGGGGACUUAAUAAAUAUUUCUUAAUGUCUUCAAAUGCCGUUUGACAAUCAUCAUCCCAUAUAAAAGGUGCAUCUUUCUUCACCAAUUUAGAAAAUGGUUUAAUUCUGCCAGAUAAAUUUGAUAUGAAUCUUCUAAUGUAUGCCAAUCUUCCUUGAAAGGACCGCAAUUGCUUCAAAUUCUUUGGGGGAGGCAAUUCUAUGAUAGCCUUAAUUUUUGCUGGGUCGAUUUCAAUUCCUCUAUGUCUCACAAUAAACCCAAGAAAUUUGCCUGAAUAAACUCCAAAUGCACAUUUAAGAGGAUUCAUUUUCAGAUUAUAUUUUCUUAAUCUGGUGAAAACUGUUUUUAAGUCUUCAAAAUGAUUUGCUUUAUUUACAGUUUUGACAACCAAAUCGUCAACAUAACAUUCAACAAUUUUGUGGAGCAAGUCAUCAAAAAUUACUGUCAUAGCCCUUUGAUAAGUGGCUCCUGCAUUUUUUAGACCAAAGGGCAUAACCUUAUAACAGUAUAUGCCAAUUGGAGUUCUAAAGGCGGUGUGUUUUUCGUCCUCAGGCGCCAUCUUUAUCUGGUUAUACCCAGAGGAACCAUCCAUGAAGGAAAACAUCUCGUAACUUGAAGUGUUAUCGAUCAUCAGUUCAGUGACUGGCAGUGGAAAAUCAUCCUUUGGGCAUGCUUUAUUCAGAUCUCGAAAGUCAACGCAUACGCGAAUUUGACCAUUCUUCUUCUUUACUGGGACUAUGCUCGCGAUCCAGUCAGCAUAUUUUUCUUCUCUGAUGAACCCUGCUUCAAUAAGCUUUUUAGUUUCUGUUAUGAUCUGUUCUUCUAAGUCAACUCUUGUCCUCCUUGGAGCUUGUUUAACUGGAACCACGUCUGGGCUAAUGGCAAGUUUAUGAACAGCCACACUCGGAUCUAAGCCGGGCAUUUCUUUAUAUGUCCAAGCAAAACAGUCUUUAUAUUCUAACAACAAUGUUUUCAACAUGUCUUGAUCUUUUUCUGGAAGUAGUGCACUAAUAUAAGUAGGUCUUCGAUCUUCUUCGUUGCCCAAAUUUAUUUCUAAAAGCUCAUCAACAGUGGCUUGCCCCCCAUCUUCAAGCUCUUGUGGAGCAUCUUUUAAUUCCAGAAGCUUUGUUUUUACUGGCUCAGUUGAGAUCGUGUCCUUAUCUUGCUUUAUGUCCUUUAUUGUAAUCAUAGUGCAAGUAUGUCGUAUGACACGUGAAUCAUUAUUGGUUAUCUUGGGCACAUGAGCAGAUUGAUGAUAUCCUAGCCCUUUCAUGUGUACCGUUCGGCCAUUUGGAAGCACGACUCUUUUUUGUGGUGGAUUCCACAUUUUCUGAAAAAAUUUUCGAUUAGCUCGUGACCUUCUUACAGGAAAUCCCGAUCUAUUUAUCAUGUUUUUGAGAUUCUUCGGAAAGUAUUUUGGCAUGUUGACAUCUUCAUAUAUUUCCUCAUCAGAGUUAUCAAGCUUGAUAAGAUCAGAGGGUUUAUAAUCAUCUGACUUGUAAAAAAGGAUCCCUUUCUUUAUUCUUUCUUUUCCUUUGACUUUCUCAACUUGAGGAGGUACAAAGAAGGUUUUUAGAUCAUUCACUUUUGUUGGCUCACUUAUGUGAAGAGAUUUUAUAUGUCCAUAUGGAACUCUAGUAAUAUUUAAGGAAUCCUCAAUCAAUUCAGGAGUUCUUAUGAACAUAUUUGACUCAGAUGUCGAGAAAAUCUCUUCAUCUUCUGAUGAGUCUUCACCCCAGGGGAUGUUUAACUUGAAAGAAAAUGUUUCCAACAUUUUCCUUAAUUGUUCUUCAUCAUCGGAAUCUUCUGAAUCACUUCCGAAGUGUGGAAUCACAUUUUCUUUAUUAUCCUCAAUUUUUAUCUUUCCCUUUGACAAUUUUUUAUCGCUCUGAACUUUACCCUCUUCGAGUUCGCGAGACAAUUUUAUAUCUUUUUCAGAUUCUGCAAAAUACCUCGCAUCUUCAUAUCGUACUUCAUGCACUCCAAAUGGGCGUAUAUCACCAUCAAUUCUGAAUUCUUCUCCAUCCUUAAUAUAUUUCAUACAUUGAUGAAGAGUAGAGGGGACAACAUUAUACUCGUGCAACCAAGGCCGUCCCAAUAAUGCUUUAUACGAAGUAUCUGCAUUUAUCACAUAGAACUUUACAUCGGUCCGCAAUGCUCCAAAUUUUAUAGGAAGAAUGAUCGACCCGAGAGCUUUUUGGCUAUGCUGAUUAAAGCCUUGAAUCAAAAUUUUUUCUGAGGACAGAUGAUCGACAUUCAGAGCUAAACUUUUCAAAGUUCUUAAAGUCAAAAUGUUGACUGAGGAUCCAGGAUCGAUUAGAAUACGAUUAAUCUUCUCUCCAUCGCUUGUCCCAGUCACAUAUAACGGCCUAUUGUGAUGAGCAGUUCCCAACAGCAUGUCCUCAUCAGUGAAAGUAACAUUGGCGAUAUGUCUGGAGUACAAUGCUUCUUUCAUAUUCAUCUCAGCAAAAUACGCAUAAAAGGGCUCGGGGUUUUGUAAAGCGUAAAUGAGUACAUCCCGAAGUUCUCUGGACAUCAUCAGGGCGUCAUACACACUCAACAAGGCUGGCACUUUUCUUAAAUGGGAAAGUAUGUUAUACUCAAUCUUUGAUAACUUUCCUUGAUUUGAUGAAGUCGGUGCCUCUUCAUUUAUCUGAAUUUCUUUAUCUUUACCAUUUUGCGGCUGCCCUUGUCUUUCUGGUAACACCUUUCCAGACUUAAGCUUAAUUUGGAAAGAAUCCUCAGCUCGUUCAUCUUCCUUGGUAUUAGAAUCGACACCACAGGUAAUAGUUUGGCACGUUUCGACUCUAGUCUUUUCAUAAGUAUUCAACUUAUCAAGUAUCUCUUUUAAUUGCUCUUUCAUAUUUUUUAUUGCCAUAGCCACACAGUCUAUGUUUGUUGCUAGAGUGCGUACAUCAAUCUGCACUCUCCUCAAAUCAUUGUCUAUCUCGAGAAGACGAUAUUCGACUCUCCUUGCACCGUUAUCCCUGCUGGGGGUAUUGUAUGCUAUCCAAGCACUAUCACUAUCUUCACAUGCCAUAGCAGGUUGUUUAACCAUAUUCCUUUGAUUUAUGGAGUCUUCAGAUUGCUCUUCGGAGACUAUUAUUACCCGACACGACUCCUUGAACUGUAAUUUAUUUUUUCUAUGGUCCCGAAGUUUCACGCAUACAUCGUAUGCAUGACCUCUCAUUCCACACCAAAAACAACGCAAUUUCAUAUCAUCCAAAGCAUCAUAACAUGCUUUUCUGAAUUCUUCUGGAGUAAUGGAUUGUUGUUUCUCAAAUCAUGGGAGAUGUUUCUUCCAUCGUUGUUUUUCGGAUUCGGCAACCGUCGGUUGAUCGAUCUUUGGCUUCACCUUGUGCAUAGGCAAAUUCUUCAUGUUUUUCCAUUGGCGGCAAUUUUUCAGGGUGUGUCCCCAUAUGUUAUGAUAGGCACAGAAUUCUGUCAACGUAACUUUAUUCUUUUCUUCGUUAUUCCCUUUAAUUAGAGCUUUAUUAUUUUGGUGAACCUCUGAUUGAUGGGUUAGGGUUGUAUUCUUCUUCUUUUUUAGUAAAGAUGACCUUGCAUUUCCUCUCAUCGACAUUCUUUUAAGCUCUCGAGCAAUUAUGUGUGCUUCAUAGAAACUUGCGUCGUAUUCGGCUUUUGUUGACUUUGAUUGCUCCGAGCCUUGCUUCUUAUCAUCUUCCUUUAAAUCAGCUUGCAUAGUUGUGACUCGACAAGUCUCGACCCGAUAUCUUUUCGACGCUUCAGUAACAUCGGUUUUGAGCAUAUCUAUGAUAGUUCUCAUUUGAAUAUCUAUGCCUUUUAUACCACCGAUUAUUUCGUUCACGUUCAUCUUCAUAACGUUAAUUUCAUUGUGCAGCCUCCUCAUUUCUCCCUCCAUUCUGAUUAAGCGACACUCCAUCCUAUACAAUUUUUUCAUUGGAUCAUGAUAAGUUAAAGUGUCGUAUAAUUCCAAAGGAUCAACAUAAGCAUUAUAGUUUGGUGUGGAUGUCUGUUGAUUUGCUCUCAGGGUCGGCGCAGGUCUUUUUAACACGUCAUCAGAUGUUGUAAUGAUACGGCAUGAUUCCCGUAAGUAAGGAAUAGUCUUGUGCUUAUUUUCCUCCUGGAUUUUCAAAGUUGUGCUUAUGACACUUUGCCUGAUGCUUGCCCUUUGAGAAAACUGGCAUUUUGGUCUUCUUAUAUGUUGAAAAGUGCGAUAGUUUUCUAGGUUAUGUCCUUUCACUUGAUGAAAAGGGCAAUACAUAGGUGUAUUUUUGCUGUCAGAAUACUGAGAAUUAACGCCUCCCGUCGGCGUCGUUCUCGAACAUUCCCCUUUGUUAAAUUUUUUAUUGACUCCACCCUUAUUUUUGAUUUCUAUAAGGGGAGUUUUUCCUUUAUCUUUUUGAGAAGUUUCAGGUGAAUGCUGAUUUGAAGAUCCACUUGUAGGCUCGAUAUCUCGUUCUCUGUUAUUUUGCGACUGAGUCUGUUGAGGGAGAGGAGUAAUCUUCAUUAAUUGUUCUCUCUGGCUUCGAUCCCGAUCAACAUAGAGAACAUUACAUUCAGUUGUGCUUUCAUAUCCAAUAUUUUAUCAUUCACCUUGUGAAAGCUGCAGCGUGUCAUUUCUUUUAUUUCUGCCAAUUGGUUAUGAAAUUCUCUGAGGUUCCCUUCUUGUUCCCUAACGUGGCUAGAAGGAAAGAUAAUUUCCUCAUCAUCACGUUGUGCGGUGAUGACUUUGCAAGUCUCUCCCUAAAAAGGCUCUUCUUUUUCUUUACACUCCUCGACAGGAAUUUCUCUUUCAUCAGAGCCCUUCUUUUUCUUAGCCUCUUCUAUUGCUUUAAAAAUAAAAUCAUGAAUCAUAAGAGGCUCUCUUUCAACUUGUUUAUAUUCUUCCAUUGAGUCGAUAUGUUCCUCAAUAGGCCGCUUCUUAUGUUGUGGUUGAGCCGGCUCAACAAUUUUUUUAUUCUUCUUUACCCGAGUUAUUCUGCGCCUUGACUUGGCUGAAGUAUUAAUUGGAGGUGUGGGCUUAUCCUUAGAUUGCACUUCUGGGUUUAAGGGGUCUCGCCAUUUUAUUUCUGGAACAUCUUUUAAAUAUUUUAACAUCUUCCGAUUUUUCUUAGAUAAAAAUAUAUUCCAAAACUCGGGGGGAAAUGCAUUCUCAAUUUCUUCCAUAUUUUUGGUAUCAAUCAGAUUGGUCUUUUCGACUGGAGCUUCUGAUAACACUGAUUGUGAAAGAGUGAUUGCGCCGCUCCUAUAUUGUUUUUCAACCCAGCCUUUGAAAACCCAGCAGUCUUCAGUUGGAUGGCUGAUUAAUCUAUGAUAUAGGCAAUAGUUCGGAUCACUGGUUUUCCCUACAUCCUCUGGCUUCUUUGGCUCGGGCAGUUGAAGACCAUUUUUAACGGCAUCAUUAAAUAUUUUCUUAACCUUUUCCCGUUUGAAAGGGUACACUUUGUUUCUUCGCUCCUCUAAAGAAAGCCCUUUGGAUUAUUGCCCCUAACACAGGUUUUACAGGGGUCUGUUCAACUGUAGAGGUAAUUGCCUUCUUUCCUUUCUCUAUCAUAUUCGUGCGGGCCGGUCUGGCUUGUGCCAACUUCGCCUCAACUCUUUUGUUAUCAUCUUUUUUUAUCUUUUGUAAGUUUAAGAGGACCUGGGGAUUGGUUCUCUCCAAUCUAGAAAUAUUUGAUAUUAAUUCAUGAAAAGUGGAACAACUAGAUGUGCAGAGAAAAGGGGCCAUCCAAUUAUCAAUAUUGCCCAUGACAAGACCAACGGCUUGAGACUGGUCUAGAGGUUGCUCACACCUUAUACUUAAGUUCCGCCAUCUUGUAAUGUAAUCUAGCAUUGUUUCAUCUUUUCUUCGUCUGGUGGCUACCAGAUCAGCGAUAGUAAUCUUAUCGCUAACGGUGGCGAAUUUUGCUCUGAAAGCUUCUUCCAUGUCGGCCCAAGUUUUAAUGGACUCAUCUUCGAGGGAGUAGUACCAUUCAAAAGCUAUACCUGAUAAGCUUUGUGGAAAUUAUCGCAAGAGUAGAGGUCCGUUACUCCCCGUAUUUCCACACAUGGCCUUAAAAUGUGCUAUAUGCUGAUCAGGGUUACCAACACCAUAGAACAUCUUGAACUUAGGGACCUGAUACCCUUCUGGAAAAGGUACGUUAUCGUAUUCCGAUAGGUAAGGGUGUCCUUUCCCUUUCAGUUUUGGAUGUGCCCCUGCUACCGUCUCGUUAACUUGCGAAGUGAUCAAAUCAUGAAUUUCUUCCUUAGUCAAAGAGGUAGUCUCUUUAAGAACAGUUGUUUUAGCCUGUUCAUCAAUGACUUGUGGUAUGUGUGCUUCCGGCUGGGUUAGAAUCUUGGUUUGACGCCGUUGAUCCCCCAAUUGCUUCUGCACAUUCAACAUCAAACUCAUGACCUCCUCCAUCUUCUUAUAGAGAUUUAUGAUAUCUCUAUCCUUUUCAUCAACUUUCUUUUUCAAGGAUGCAAUCAUAACAUCCUUUGGAUCCCUUGAGAAGUAGACAACCUCCUCUUCCUCUCGGGGGUCAGAUGGAUCACUAGGCAUAUCAUCUUUAUUCUCCAUAUUUUGUGUUUGCGAAGAGCUUGCUUCCUUAGCUCUUGCUUUCUCUUCCGCGGCUUUUCUUGCAGCAGCUCUUGUAAGGAUUUGCUGAAUAGUUUCUUCUUCAUAAGCGGCCUCACUUGACGGCGUGUGUCCAAUAACUCUCACAGUGUGAAUCUCCAAAUUCUCUAUUUUAGAUUUUUCUUCUUUAAUCUAAGCAAGAGUUUUAGGCUUCCACUCUGUCUUUCUUCCUUCCCAUGAUAGUGUUGACUUUCGUUGCCACUUCGGCUUCUCAAUUUUCUUCUCUAGGUUCAUUCUUCCUUUUGCAGCCUUAAAAGUUUUAUAUAUCUGCUUGAAGACAGAGUUCUUGUCAUUGUUUCUCAAGCAAGGACAUGCAAAAGAAGGUUUUAAAUGGGCCAUUUCUGACUCGGGGCGCAGAAUGGCAGUAGGUGAGUUUUUUCUCACAAAUCUCAAGGGUGCAUAGCGGUUACGGGCCAAAACGUCGGGCCCGGCGACAAACCUAUUAAGUUGGGUUUGUUGAGACUUGUUUUCUUUGUUCAUCUCCUGCCGCUUCAAAGUACGACGAAGAUUUCUCUUGAAUGACUUGGUCACAGUAUCCUUGGGGAACGUCAGCCUAUUGAAGACUGACGCUUUAGGUGCCAUAUCAAGUGGCGAUGUUUCGUCAAUUCGGUUUUGGAACACCAGUCUUCCUUGUAAUUCCAUUUUCUUUGAAGCACUAAUAGAAGUCAUCCUCUCCUUCACAGGAGGGCGAGGGUGGUUGGGAAUGACGACAUCCGGACGCCUCCCACGAAAGGGAAGACGUGGAACAUCAUUCGUGCCUGUAAUAACAUUGAAAGGGGCCAUAGCUGCAGCUCUAGCCUCUUCUGGGAUGGUGCCAAACUGGAUCGCAGCACCAGCGGCUCCAAUGGUGAGGACAGAUGCCGGUAGGCAAACCUGACCUGCAUUGAUCAUCAUCGAACCUGUAGCAGUAGUAGCGUCCUUCAGUGCCAUUUCUCCUGCAAGAGAUAAUGACUGUAGAUUAAAUAUAUAUCAUUCAAUUCUAUUAGCAUAACAUUGGUCUCAAAGAUGGAAGGAGAAGCCAGGUCCCACCGGGCGUGCCAUUUUGUCUGCGGCCACGAAUGACGUACCUUGCACGGUUAAUCUUAUUUCUAUUUUCCGUGAGGUAGUAUUCAUGAUUCAGAUUAACAUUUAAUUAUAUAUGGUUAUCAGGUAUUGUGGAUUCAUGGCUUCCAAUAAACGCAAGCGUUUAUUGUUAAUUACCCCUACAAAAUGUUAGGGCACCUUCGAUCAAGAGGCCUCUGUAAUGCUGAAAUAGACUGAAAUUAUAUAAAAGAUGAAUUUUAUAACAUAAUUCACUAUACAAUUACAUAGCAUAACCAGGGACAUACCCCCAGUGUACAUGAAUAAAAGAGAAAAUGAUUAGUUCAACGACAUGAGUUUGACGGUCGAUUGAACUUAAUUUGGAUUACACCUAUAAUUUUAAGGGGUUAAUCCAAUUAGAUUUAACUAAAUCCUAGUUGCAUGUAUUAGGAUUUAGUUGGGUUUGAAUUGAUUGGACUCUAAUUGUAUGUGUCAAAGUCCAAUCAGAUUUAAGUUCACCAUAAGGUGAGGAAUAGCUAAAUCUACAUGUAUUAGAAUUAGCCGAUUUGAUUUAGAUUAACUCUAAUUAUACAUAUUAGAGUCUAAUUAAUUUAAUUGAACUCUAAGUAUGUAUAUUAGAGUCAAACCAUAUUUGAGUUCACUCUAAGGUGAAGGAUGGCUAAAUACUAAAUAUAUGUAUUAGGAUUAGCCAAAAUUGAUUUAAAUUAAACUCUAAUUAUACAUAUUAGAGUCUAACUUGGUUUCCUUUGUUUGAACUCUAAGUAUAUGAAUUAGAGUCCAAUCGACUUAAUUUGAUUAGGUGAAACCUAAUUCAUUAUUUUUACCUUAGUCAUAUAUACAAAGAUAAAAAGAUGGUUUGAUCAAUUCUAAGCAUAUAUUUAGAAUUUGAUCGAGUUUGAAUAUGGUUGUGAUUGGAAUAGUUUGUUUCUAAGGACCCGGUAUGGAGGUUGGAUUAGGUUGUGCAUGACUUGGGUUUGAGGUUAGGUUUGGACUUUGAUUUGGUUAUUAUGGUAUAGGUUUCAUAUAUGGCUUGUCAAAUUUGGAUUGGAUUGGAAUUAAAGAUUGGGUUCAGCUAGCUUGGACCAAUCCGAAUUAAAUAAUUGGGUUGGGUUUAUAUUUAGUCUUGGACAUGAACUUGGGCUCAUUCGGAGAUAUAAUUAGGCUGAGUUUAUAUUUGGCCUUGGAUAUGAACUUAGGCCCAUUCGGAGAUAUAAUUGGGCGGGGUUUAUAUUUGGUGUUGGACAUGAACUUGGGCUCAUUCGGAGAUAUAAUUGGGCUGGGUUUAUAUUUGGUGUUGGACAUGAACUUGGGCUCAUUCGGAGAUAUAAUUGGGCUGGGUUUAUAUUUGAUCUUGAACAUGAAUCUGGGCCCAUUCGGAGAUAUAAUUGUGCUAGGUUUCUAUUUGGUCUUGGACAUGAACUUAGGCCCAUUCGGAGAUAUAAUUGGAUUGGGUUUAUAUUUAGUCUUGGACAUGAACUUGGGCCCAUUCGGAGAUAUAACUGGGCUGGGUUUAUAUUUGGUGGUGGACAUGAACUUGGGCCCAUCUAGAGAUAUAAUUGGACUGGGUUUAUAUUUGGUGGUGGACAUGAACUUGGGCUCAUUCGGAGAUAUAAUUGUGCUGGGUUUACAGUGUUAAGAUUAGGCCCGUACAGCUCAUUCAAACUUGAGAUUUCAACAGAAAAUUUCAAAGACACUCUGAAAUCACGUUUUAAAUUUGAGUUUCAAAUCCAUAGAUAAAUCCUCAUUUAGUGUGUGUGUGUAUAUAUAUAUAUAUAUAUAUAUAUAUAUAGUAUUUGAAAAGAGUUAAAAAAUUCAAGAUAAUUUAUGUUUUGAAUUUUUAAUUCAAAACAUAAUGAACAAAUGAAUAAACAAAUAUUUUCUUUCUUCCGUCUCCCAUCUUUGAGUAACAAUAAUAAUAAUUCCUCGCCUCCUUUUUGCAAUAUUUAUCAAUAUGAGCAUUAAUUAAUAUAGUUGGCAACAGCGCAGUGUUCAUGGCGAUCACCAAAUUAAACUGAUUAUGUACAUAUAUGUCUCUUUUUUUUUUUUUUAACGACAAAAAGUUCCGAUCCUCAAUCGUCGUCGUAGAAUGCAUGAAAGACUUCAAAGCAGAAUCAGACUUGGAAAUUAAGCCGAAUCCGCAAAGCACCAAAAUAAUUACUUUAUCAAUACAGGCUGCGGCUUCAUCAUAAUUAAUUGCCGAAUCCAUCAAGCACCAAAGCAAUUACUUUAUCCAUAUAGGCUGCGGCUUCAUCAUAAUUAAUUGCCGAAUCCAUCAAGCACCAAAGCAAUUACUUUAUCAAUAUAAGCUACAGCCACAUAUCUAUUCAUCAUAAUUAAUGUACAUCUCCUUAAUUUGCAUGCAUGUGAGGGAGCUUGUUCACGUAAUACACAUGUUAUUUUGCGCGGUAGAUGAGUGGAGGCCGUUCUUCUCUUCUGCCGACGGCUAAGCGCCAAACGGAAGAUCGCCGGCUUCACGUCUUCUCCGUCAUGGUUGUCGAUGUGCCGUUAAUUCCGUCGACGGCUAAGCGCCGAACGGAAGAUUGUCGGCUUCACAUCAUCUCCGUCGUGGUUGUCGAUGCGCCGUUAAUUCCACCGACGGCUAAGCGUCGGUGAAUGAAGCUCCGCCAUGGUCGUCGAUACGCCGUUACUUCCGUCGACGGCUAAGCGCCAAACGGAAGGUCGUCAGCUUCACGUCGUCUCCGUCGUGGUUGUCGACACGCCGUUAAUUCCGCCGAUGGCUAAGCGCCGGCGAAUGAAGCUCCGCCGUUGUUGUCGAUACGCCGUUAAUUCCGCCAUGGUCGUCGAUGCGCCGUUAAUUCCGCCGACGGCUAAGCGCCGGCGAAUGAAGCUCCGCCGUUGUUGUCGAUACGCCGUUAAUUCCGCCAUGGUCGUCGAUGCGUCGUUAAUUCCACCGACGACUAAGCGCCGGCGAAUGAAGCCCCGCCGUUAUUGUCGAUACGCCGUUCAUUCCGCCAUGGUCGUCGAUGCGCCGUUAAUUCCGCCGACGGCUAAGCGCCGGCGAAUGAAGCUCCGCCGUUGUUGCCGAUGUAGAGAUGGACGGAGGCUAUUCUUCUCUUCCGCCGACGGCUAAGCGCCAAACGGAGGAUCGUCGGCUUCACAUCAUUUCCGCCAUGGUUGCCGAUGAAGCUUCGCCGUUGAUGUAGGGAUGGAGGGAGGACGCGAGUAUUAUUAUUAUUAUUAUUUUUUUGUAAGGAGGAGAAGAAAGAAAAUAUCAUUCGUCUUUUUUUUAAUGGAUGGAUAUCUCUACCUUUUUUUUUUGAACGAACCUUGUUUUUCUCUCCUUUUUUGCCUAAACAGUUGAUCUCUAACAACCUCUAAAAAAAUUCUCCAACAAUCUCUAACAACCUCUAAAAAUUCUCCUCCUUUUGUUUUUCAUAUCAUUUCCCCUUUUAUAGGUUUUCUAGUUAGUUAGUAGAUGGGAGAGUUUUUUUUUUUUAGUGGGUUAGUGGGUUAAUGGGAGAGAUUUUAGUGGGUUAGUGGGAAGGUGGGAAGGCUUUUUUUUUAUAUUAUUAUUUUUUGAUGUGGGGGUGAAUGGGAAGUUAGGAUUUUUUUUUUUGUGCGGCCCUUUUGUGUGGCCCACACAAGAGAUAUGAUUAUCAUGUAUUCAUAUUUAUGAGAGAGAUGGUGGGAUCCACAUCUCUAACUAACCACUUUUUUUCCUCUUCUUUUGUUGUGCCACCCCCCUGGCGUACCAGCCUUUCUUUUUUUUCUUUUUUUUUUCUUUUUUUUUUAUAUGAGGUAAGGAGAAUAAUAAUAAUAAUAAUAAUAAUAAUAAUAAUGGGGAUAAAUUUGGGGUGGAUCUAUAUUCGGGCUUAGGUUCAGAUUCAAACUGGACUUGAAUUGAAUUCGAUUUAGCCACAUUUGAAUUUCAAAAUUUAAAUUUAUUACAUCCUCCUCUUUUCUCAUUAUUACACAAACAGGUUUAUUCUUCCCCUUUUUCUUGGGAUUUAAGGUUUGAUCUCCUCUUUUGCUUCUUGGUGCUACUUCCUCCAUGUUGCAGGCUUGGAGCUUGGACUUGGAGCUUGAUAGAGAGAAGAUCAUCACACCUAGUGGACUUUAAGCCUUGAUUGAAGCUUCUAAGAGGUAAGCAACUUAUUCUUUCAUCUAGAUUUCAAGUUUUAAUGGUUGAUUUGAGAUGAAACCCUAGAAUGAAAACUUAGGGUUGAUUUUGGGCCAUUUGGAUUUAGGGCUUUUGGAGCUUGAUCUUUUGGAUUAGAACCUUCCUCUAGGUUGCAUUGGAAGGGUCUUCUAGCUUCUGUUUGAAGAUCGAGAGAUGCUAUCACCAUUUUAGGUGAGUUUUUGCCCUUUGCUAGAAUUGGUUAAUGUUUGAGCUUAGGGCUUUUCGUAACGUUCGUGUAUCUCUUCUCUUGUAACCUUUAGGGUGCUAGGAGAAUUGUAGGCAACUCCGUUCAGUGAAAUGAAGGAGUUUUAGCGAAGCUUCGGUGGGUUUGACCUCACCGAGGAUGAGAAAAUUUUAUUUUUGUUGAUUUGGCAUUUUCAUGAUAGAUGCAUUAUUUAUGAAUUUUAGAAUGCUUAAAAUACUUAUAUUGUAUACAAUGCAUUUUUGGACCUCUAUGUAGUAGAGAGCUUGCAUGUGAGAUUUAUGCAUGAGAUUAGCAUUCGCAUUUGGGACUUGGAAUUAUAUUUCAUAUAGUGAAAAUGACGAUAUAAUAUGCCCUUGGAUGUAUGAGAAUACAUUAGGCCAUAAAGUGGCUUGGGACUUGAAUAUCAUGUAAAUUAGUGAGCUAAUGUCAAAAAGCGACAUUGAGCUUGGGUUAUAUACGAACCUUGUAAAUAAUGCCAUAAAGAGGCAUGGGAAUUGGAACAUGCUUUGAUAUAGUAAUGUUAUAGUGUCAUAAAGAGGCACUAGACUUAGUGAAUGUUGGAACUUCACAUUGUGAUAUAGAACUAGAUCGUUGGGUUACUAGUGGUUAUUACCAUGUUAGAGACAUGAUGAUUGGAUACUUGAGACGGUGACUAUGCUUACUUGCCAUUUGUGCUUAUUCGCACAUGCUUGUGAGGGUCACUCCCUACAAGCCGGCACUCCGGAGUUGGCCUACACGACUUAUGUUCGCUCGUGCGGUAUCGAGAAACCUACGGGGUCGGGAAGGGUAGACUCAUUCCUAGAGUGGGAAUGUUGGAGCUACGGCCGGCACUUAGGUGGCACAAGUUGGACUACACUUGUGUAGGUCCUAAAACAAGAUUGAACAAUGACAUCAAUCCAUAAUGAUAAUCACUACUAGAUAGGGUGUAGUAGCUGGAUUACCUUGACAUGCUUAAUGCAUACCUGUGGACAUUUGAGACAUGUAGUAUACUUAGUAAUAUCGCUCAUUGCAUCAUAGUAUACUUGCUGCCAUGUGGGAUCAUACUAGUUAUGUAUUGGACAUACUUGAUCAUGAUAGAAUGAAUGUACCAUAUAUUGUCAUCAUAUUACUUAUGGCAUAGUAGUUUAGCAUUUAUACAUACUUCAUAAAUGUAGUUUAUUUCCGUUGCUUUUCGCAUCUACCUUAUUCUUUUGGGCCUAGUGGUGCAUUGUGCUAAGGUUAGUAAUUGCCUACUGGGAACUAUAAAUUAUAGUUCUCACGCCCCCUAUUUCUUGUUUUCUUUCAGAGCCUUCCACACCGGGUAAGGCUAGGGACCGCGGAAAGGAUAUCGUCUCGCGCUAGCUUGUUGGCGAGGGACGUAUCGAUAGGUGGUCUAACUCUCAUUGGCUUUAUUUUGGAGAGGUUGAAAGUUGUACCUGUGUAUAGAGACCACCCCUUUUGUAUUUUGAGACAAUUGAUGUAUUUACUUUAUAUUUUAUAUUAGUGGAUCAGUUUUCUUUUCCUCUACAUGUUGUUAGAAUUUAGCUGCUCGUUGCUCUGAUAUCUCUAGUUGUCUUACUUUUCUUGCUUUCAUAUCUAUAUUGUUGUAGACGCCUUAUAUGCGCAGGCAUAUGGCGGGUCUGGGCACACACCGGGCAGGCCUACGCCGGGUCCCGGGGCGUGACACACGGAGCAAACAAACACCGUCGGAUAAAAUCCGAACUGAAACCGCGUUCCGCCGGCGAAUUUUGCCGAAAAACGCAUCAAAAUCGACUUUCGAUUUCCGCGAAGGCUCACGGACCUUGGACAAUCAGUCCAGAGGUGACACACACACAUACACACUGCCCACAGUAGCCACAAGGUGCACAAUUGCAUAAAAGUCCCUACAUUUAUAUAAAAUCCUAAUGUUUUAUGUAAAUCGGGUGAUUAUGUGGCUCGUUCUCGCAAACCGAGGACUUCCAAGGUCUGCCGAGACUAGGGAUGGAACUGGGCCCGAGCCUAAACAAGGCCCGACCCCAUUAAGGCCGGCAAAUGAGCGAGCCAGCUCGCGUUCGACUCGCGUUCGAUUCGAUAUUUGGCUCGCUCGAGCUCGACUUGAAAUUAAAUGAGCCGAGCUUGAAUAAAAAAAAAGGCUUGAAAUUCAUUUCAAGCCGAGCUGGAGUAUUGCUCGGCUUGUUCGAAUUAGGCUCGAAAAGCUCAAAUAUAUAUAAGAUCUAGACUUUAGAUCUCAAAUAUAAAAAUUGUAUCAUCACUUUUUGAAGGAUAUUUAUUUUCAACUAUUCAUUUUUCUGUUCACUUGAUGGACAAGAGAAUAAUAUCGAAAAUGUGUGAAAUUUGAUUUCCAGAUAGUUUAAAUAGUUUAGAUCAUGUUUAAUAGUGCCGAUCAUCAAUUUGGAAGCUCUAUCAUCGAAAACAAAUCGGUAGUAAACUGAGCCGUUUACUACCGAUAGUAUUCUAGCAAAACUCUAUAUAUAUAUAUAUAUAUAUAUAUAUAGAGAGAGAGAGAGAGUCCGGCUACUAUACUAUUGAUAGUACCACGCCCUUGGUACUAUUGACUUUUCUACCGUUAGAUUUAUCAUUUGAUCAUUUCCACCCGUUAGAUUAUACUAUUAAACCAACCACCCACUCAACCCUAGGGGACCGCUGUCAAUUUAACCGGGGACCACUAUCAUCCUAACCGCACAUCCUUUUAUCCAACGACCGAAAACUCAAUAGUACCAAAGGCUUAGUACUAUUGAUAGUAUAGUAGCAUAAUUCUAUAUAUAUAUAUAUAUAUAUAUAUAUAUAUAUAUAUAUAUAUAUAUAUAUAUAUAUAUAUAUAUNNNNNNNNNNNNNNNNNNNNNNNNNUUAAUUAUAUAUAGGCUGAGUGAAUAAUCUAAGUUUAGUUAAAAUUGGGUCAAUAUUGUUGGCCCAUAAAAACAAACCCAAUAGACAAAUAAAAGAGCAAAAUUUUACUAAAUUUAUACAUUUUUCAUUUGUUUCUUUCUUUCACAGAGCUCUAAAUUUUCAAUAUGUUUCUCUCUUUCUCUUUUUCUGUCUCUCACCCUAUGUGGCCAAGCCGAAAGCCCUCCAAGUUACCAAGUAGCAGCAUAUGUCUACCGUUACCUAUCUUGCUAUUAAUUGUAUACUUGAGAAAAUAUACAGAAUAUUUUUAAAAUAAAAAAUUAUUAUUCAUAUGAAAUUUUAAUUUUAGUUAUAUAUGAUUGGAUAGUUUAAUCCAAUAUUUAUCUAUAUAAUUUAUUUAUUUUUUACUGCAUAAAUGAAAAUGAAUAAUAUGGAGAUUGAAGGCGGAAGAAAAGACAUGUGAGGCUGAAAAGAUUAGAUAUUCAACUCAUAAAUUUUUUUUUUCAUAUUAUAAUACUAUAUUUUAUAUAAUUAUUUUAUACUUUGAACUAUUAGACAUAUUUUUGUAUCAAAUUAUAGAUAAUGUUCUAUACAAAUUAAAUUAUUGAUCGUAUGAUGUUGAGAAUUUCAAGCGGCUCGUUUAGUGCUCGAGCUCGCUCGACUCGAAAUUAGGCUCGCUUGAGCUCGGCUCGAAUUAAUUUCAAUCCAAGCUUGAGCUUAAAUUUAGGCUCGAAAUUAAUUUCAAGCCGAAUUUGAGCCGAGGUAAGCUCGCUCGAGCUCGGCUCGUUUCCACCCCUAGACCCCAUGGGCCAUGUUUAGGCCGGGCUUUGGGCAUUAAAAACUAAACUUUGGGUUCAGGUCGGGCUUCAAAAUUUAGGCCCAAAAAAAUUUUGGGCUUAUUUGGGCAUGUCCAAGCCUGGCCCGAGCCCGACCCAAAAGCCCGAUAUAUUAAUUAUUAAAAUAAAAUAUUUAAUUCAAUAUAUAUAUAUAUAUAAUAUUUUUUUAUAAAAAGAAUAAAUUAUAUAGUAUAUCAUAUAUAGUAUAUAUUGUUAUUAAUGAUAUAUACUUAUAUAUAUAUAUGAGGGUAUAUUAUAUAUUAAUAAAAUAUUUAGUUCCAUAUUAGGAUAUAUUAAACAGUAUUAGUAUAUAUAAUUAAUUAAUUAUACGUAUCUAUGAGUAAAUAUAUGGUACAUAUUAUUAUACAAAUAAAAGUAUUUAUGUAUUAUAUGAUAAAUGUAUAAAAUGGGCCUUCACAAAGCCCGAUGGGUAUUGGGCAUUGGGCAUGGGCUUGGGCCGGGCCUUAAUUUUCAAAAAAAAAUGGGUAAAAGCCCGACCCGAAGCCCAACAUUUUCUUUUGGGCCGAACUUGGGCAUAGUAUUACCUGACCCAAGCCCGGCCCACUUCCACCCCUAGCCGAGACGUGUACUGAUAGGUCUCGACAUACCGGAGACCGUGCUCACGAUCCGGAGCCCAACGGCUCACUGUGGGAGGCGCGGGAGCGACCUGAAAGUUCUACGAACAGCGCGCACUCGGGGAAAACCACGCAGAAAACGCAAUUCCGGAAGCCGCUGAUCCAAAGUGAGGUGAGCACUGUGAUUAGCACUGACCAACGGUCAUUGUGCUCACCUCCGGAGGCAUCGGGACAGCCUCGGAUAGCCGGAAAAGAGUGCGCAAACCAGAAACAGCAACCAAAAAGGCCCUAAAGGGGCGACACCGCCGAAACAACGGAACGAAACCUUUCCGAUAGAAACUGAGGUGAGCACGAUGAUUAGCAAUGAGUCACGAUCAUCGUGCUCCCUUCCACAGAGAUCGGGAGGCCUCGGGUUGCUCGGAACAGCAAACCACUCAAGAAAAGCCCUAUUUCGGGCUUGGCCGGAGCAAGCUUGCUCCAGCCAACUUCUGACGGCACGGCGACGUGCGCGCGGGCCAGAGGUGGGUGCGGGGGAGGGAAGGAGCACAAUGCUCACCUUGGCUGGCGGCGAGGAGCGGCGGCGGCGUCGGCGGAGCGAGCCAAGCCCAAACAUUGUUUGUUUCUUUAUCCUGAGUUUUUUUUUCUUUAUCUACUUGCUUUUUGAUAACCUAUCGAGAUGAACCACAUACAUGACACACUUCUUUAUUUGCUUUCUCAUCCAAAAAUAGCAUACAAUCAUUUGGACAAUAAUGAAUCUUUUCAUAGCUAAGUCAUAAAGCCUUGAUGACCUUUUUUUGCCUCAUAUGUGGAUCGUGGCAAUGAAGUUCCUUCUGAAAAUACAUCAAUCAAUAGCUCAAGCAACAUGCUAAAUGAUUCUCCUAUCCAUCCAUUUAAAUAUUAUAAGUGGAAUAAAUGAAUUAUGAAUGAUAAUUUUAAAAAUUUCUUGCAACCAGGAUAAAGCUCUUCAUUUGCAUCUUUUAAAACUUUAAAAACUCGUUUGUUUCCCUAAGAGCUUCCUCUAUGAUGUUCUGCAUCAUUCCUUUCUGUAUGCUGCUGUGCAUCAACCUCUUCACUAGCUUGCUCUAUAGUAACAAAUCUACUAGAUUGUUGUCCAUUUGUUUCAUUUGCAACUAAGUUUAUCUCAUUAGUUCCCUCACUAAAUAUACCCAUAGCAGCAUGCAAAAGACCAUCCAUGUCAUCUAAUCUACUUGUGUUUGCUUGUAAAUAAGAGGUCUGAUUUGAGGUGGAAGAUGUAGUAGGGUUUGUAGAGGAUAAUGAUGUUAUAGGAUCUUCUCCGUGACAAAUCCAACGAGUAUAUCCUCUCAAAAAUCCAUCGCAUAUCAAGCAUACUUUAGCAUCAUCAUAUGUUUGGAAAGAGCAAUUAACGCAACGAAUACAAGGACACAUAAUUUUGCCACCAUGUGAUGCAUUUUGAAAUGCAAAAUCAAGAAAUUGGUUGACUCCUUUGAAAGGGACUAUAUCCUAUGAAUUUGUUUUUCUCCUAGGAGAAGCAGCUGUUCUUGGAAGUCAACUAAACAAUCUUUGAUUGUUAUAUAGAAGCACUAUGGAAUCUGAAUUCAAAGCUUUGGAUACUACUGUAGCAGAAGUUAAGCGGAUUAGAGAGUUUCUUUAUGAGUUGCCAUUAAUGGAGUGACCUUUAGCAUCUGUAUGUAUUCAUUGUGAUUGUAGAUCUGCAAUAGAUAAGUGUGCCCAAGAGAAUGUGGAGACUAAGAUGAAUAGAUUCAUGAAAGUGAGACAUAAGUUCAUUCAGCAGAAUCUGAAGAAAAAUGUGAUUGCAUUAGAAUUUGUGAGAUCUGUGAAGAAUUUGGCUGAUCAGCUUAUGAAGGGUUUAUCUAGGACAGUGAUCCUAAAAUCGUCGAGGGCAUGGGGCUCAGCCCACAAUAGAAGUUAUUGGUGGCGGCAACCCAAUCUGUUGCAGGUUCAAUGGGUAGAAACAAGUCAAACAGGUAGUUAUGAGGAGCACUGUUUUUAUUUCCUCAUCCAAUGGCGACAGUGCUCAUAUCUGCAAGUGGAUAGGAAGGGCAUUGGCCCUGAAUGGUUCCGAGACCUAUAAAGCAGGGUGUGACCUUUCAGAUACCCUUUGAGGACCUACUAUAUGUGUAGAGUAGUGAGGCUGCAACUAUGUGAAGAGGGCGGUUCAUAAAACACAUAUGAAGCGAUACUAGCGGAUUAUCAUAAAAGUGCUCACCCGCUUAGAACCUUUACGGCUAUACCAUGUAUGCAGUUUGUGGAAAUCCGAUUCACUGGUCAUGGUUCAAGGCGUAGUCCACCAUUGUGCCCUUGGAUGUAUAUUGACAAGCACUAAGUGAAGGUUCAAACUCGAAAGUUACCUUUGCCCAAUACGUGGUAUAAGAUAUCCAGUAUUCUUUUGAGUUGCUUUGAAUUUCACUUUUGUUUACUUUCUUUAUUUGAAGUUUUAAAUCAUGUAGAGGAAUGUUAGAUUUUAUUUGGGUCUUUUAGUGAUUUAAAACUUAUUAGGCCUCUUGGGCGGCCCAAUACUUGAUGCGCCUUGCCUAGGAGCCCAUACUAAGGUUUUUACAAAUGAGAAUUAGUUCCAUAUUGGAAACUAAAAGUAUGUUAUUGUUGUUAGUUGCUUAAGAGAAAAUGAGAGUUAUGCUCUUGACUAAACACACGCAUGCACGGCACGAGCACAAGCCGGGCCAGGCCGAGCGAGGGGCGGCGCCGGGCAGUCCAGGCACUCGAUUUAUUUUUUUAUUAUUUUUUUAUUUUAUCUUUAUCUUUUGAGAGUCCUAACCCGUAUACCGUAUAUUACAGACUCGUAGGCUUAUCUUGCGCUACGCGGAAUUGACCUGUUGAAGCAUGAUCUUUGCCUUGGAUAUAUAUAUUGGAGGAGGUUGCAAGAAUUCAACCUCAACCUUUGCUUAUCUGAGAGUAAAACCCUAAUCUCUACCUCUAUUUCUUUUUUUUCUCGCCAUUGAUUUUUCACGCUUAUUUUUACCCGCUUUCUAAUAUUUCGUUGGAUCUAAAGCUUGUUGCGUUCAUUUUGGGCCACCUUGAAGCAUGCCGAUGGGGUUGGAACGUGGAAGUUGUAUCGCUGGAAGGGCUUGCUGGGAAGCCUCGUACGUGGAAGGACAAUCUUGCUUCUAGGAUAGUGCUCAGCAUGCCUCGAUCCACAGGUCUUUUCUAAUACUUUUCUCUACAGUAUUUACUAUUUAAUGUUUUUUAGAUUUUUUCUAAAACUGAAAUUAAGCUUUUGAAUUGCUUUUAAAGAAAAUUUUACUUAGAGAUCAAAAAGAUUUUCCAACAAUCCUAUAGUCUGGCAGUAGGGAGCAACAACUAUGAGAUUAAGGCCUAUAUCUGGCCUUGGAGAAUAUUGGACAUUGUUAGAUGUUCGAAGAGAAAUUAGCACCGAGGGAGGAGAUGUUUAACUCGGAGGCUCGAGCUAAGAGCGACUCAAAAGUGAUAGCUUGGUUCUUGAAUCCACUCGAAGGAGAGAGAGAAGGAAAAAGGUCGUCUAGGCUUUAUUUCAGCCGGACUGUUGGGAGAGAAGGGAACUACGGGGAAUGGAUGACAUGAGAAAGGUGUAGCCUGGGGUAUGGGGUGUGCAUUUGAUUGGAAAGGGAGAGAGAAGUGCAACCCUAGGCUAACUCUCUUUCUCUUAUAUUUAUACAAGGUGAAAAAUUACACAUAACUCCUUUAUCGCUCAUCUCUUUCUUUUAAGCCUCCACAGGCAGUCAAUUUCACAUAGAGGUUCCACCACCUGAGAAACUUUAUGAUUUCUCACUGAAAAUGUUGUCAUUUCACAUUGCUCGAUAAUUUCAUCUUUAUUCACAUUACCACAAAAUCGCACCGGGACCUCCGAUUUUCAUAAAACUUUGUUUCACACCUUCCUCUCUAAGUGAACUUGCAGAUAGACCUCUCCGCUUCUGAAAAUUCUUUGAAAAAUCUGCAAAAAAUGUUGUGCUGAUCACAACGUGCUAAUCCGAGUUUGGUUUUCUGCUCUCCCAGGACACUAUUAAUGGUCCCAAACUCACACAUUUAACACAUGAACCCUCAUAAAGCCGAAAUUGCAAUUAUGCUAAGGGUGUGUUUGGUUCCACGUAAAACUGGGAAAAAAAAAUUUCCGUGGAAAAAAGUUUUUCAUGGAAAAUUUAUUUUACGGCUUUUAGUGUUUGGUUUGUAGGAAAAGAAAAUUAGUUUACAGUUACAGUUGUUUGGUUAAAUGGUCGAAAGAAAAAAGUAUAAAUUUUUUUUAUUAUGUUUUUGAUAUAUUAUUUAUUUAUUAUUUAUGAAUUAAAUAUAUGAUAAAUUUAUAAGUAUUUAAUAUAAUAUAUGUAAUAGUCUGCAUAUAAUAUUAUAUAAAAAUAUAUAAUUUUUAUAAAUAAAAAUAUAAAAUUAGUUUUCUUUAUGAUGUUUGGUUGAAAAAAAAAAAAUAUAAAAAAAAUUAUUAUAUAUAUAUUAUUUUAUUGUAUAUAUUAUUAUAUUAUCUAUAUAUAAUAAUAGUGAUAUAUAAUAAUUAUCAUAUUAUAAUAUUCAGUAUUAUAAUAUAAUUUAUAAAAAAAUACUAAAAUAUAUAUACAUUAAUUAAUAUGCAAUAUAUAUUAAUAGUAUAUAUUUAAUAUUAUAAAUAAAUUAUUAUGUAUUUAUAAAUAAAUAUAUAUAUAAUAAAUAAAAUUACACAAUAAUAUUUAAAUAAAAAUUAUAUAUAUAUAUAUAUAUAUAUAAUAUAUAUAUAGUAUUAUAUAUAUAUAUUAUAUGUAAUAUAUAUAUAUAUGUAUAUAUAUAUAUUAUGUAUAUAUAUUAUAUAUAUUAUAUAUGAUAGUAUAUAUAUAUAUAUAUAUAUAUAAUUAUAUAUAUAUUAUAUUAUAAUACAUAUAUAUAUCAUAUAUGUAUAUAUAUAUAAUAGUAUAUAUAUAUAUAUAUAUAUAUAUAUAUAUAUAUAAUUAUGCAUAUAACUAUACUAUAAAUAGUAUCAACCCUUGAUAAUUGAGUUUUCGGCCGUUGGAUGAAAGGAUGUGCGGUUAGGAUAAUAGUGGUCCCUGGUUAAAUUGAUAGUGUCCCCUAGGGUUGAGUGGGUGGUUGGUUUAAAUAGUAUAAUCUAACGGGUGGAAAUAUAUCAAGGGUGAAUCUAACCGGUAGAAAACUCAAUUAGUCCAAGAUUUGGAGCUAUCGAUAGAAGUAGGUACCAGACCUAUAUAUAUAUAUAUAUAUAUAUAUAUAGAGCAUGACUGCUGUGCUCUCAGGAGCACGGAGGUCUCCGUGCUCCUGAGCCGUUUUUUAUGAUGAAAUUUUCGAAUCAACGAUCGGCUCUGCUAGACCUGAUCUAGCGUAUUUGAAGUUUGUAGAAAGUAAUUUUUAUGAUUUUUCGAUAUCAUUUACCUAGCAAUCAAAAGGAUUCAAAAUCAAUAAUUUUUAACGGCUGAAAAUAAAAAUUCUAUAAAAAGUGGUGAUAUAGCACUAAAAUUUUUGAUCAGAAAUAUUGAUCUUGUUGUAGAUAGUAUAAAGAAUUUUGUAUCAAAAUUUCAUCUAAUUUGAAUACUUCUACACCGUUAAACUUGAAAACGGUAGAUAUCAACCAUUAAAAAUUAUUGAUUUUGAAUCCUUCCGAUCACUAGGUAAAUGAUAUCGAAAAAUUGCAAAAAUUAUUUUCUAGAAACUUCAAAUACGCUAGAUCAAGUCUAACGGAGCCGAUCGUCGAUUCGAAAAUUCCAUCAUCGAAAAUGGCUCAGCAGCACGGAGGCCUUCAUGUAUGUAUAUAUAAGAGGGGGAGAGAGUCCACGGUCCACGAGGUGACCCUGUGGACUCUCUCUCUCUCACGCGGUCCACGAGGUGAGGAUAGUCUCGUGGACCGUGCAUACUCAAAAGUCCUAAGCCGCGAUAUUGGGUGCUUGAACUUUUCAUUUUCCGCGGAAGGCGAGUGGAAAACGAAAAAGCAAACUUUUCAGAAAAUCUGUAAAAAAGUUUUUCCAAAUUUUUUUUUUUACAGGUAACCAAACAUUGGAAAAAAAGUUUUCAGCAGAAAAUUUUUUUUCAGAGCACUUUUACAGGGAACCAAACAUCCCCUAAGUAAAAGUAAAAUUUUGUUGCAUUAUAUAUAGUCUUAUUUUACAAGAUGAUCUCCUGCGUUAGUAAUUUUUUUAUAUAAAAGAAUUUCGGAUUCUACACUUGUUUCCGUAUGUAAUAUCACAUUCUACAUAUCGAAAUGAGUCGGUUAUAAUAUAUUUUUCGUGAUCUCACUGAACAAUGGAUAAACAUAUCCCCAUAUAUUUUUUCCCCAAAUUUGAUUUGUCAACUAACAUUAAUGUGAUUCAACACCAAAUAGGCUUUGAAGUCAUAAAGGUUGUGGUAGCUUGCGGAUGAGGGUGAAGCUCUUAAAUGAGGAUGAGCGAAGUCACUAUUAACUUUAACUACUUGAGGAUGCUCCUUAGCCUUUUUCGAUAGGUAUAGGUAUGAAAUAAUGUCUAAUCAAGUGAUGCCAUGUGAUGUGGUAGAGGAAAGGGGUAAGGAUUUAAAGAGAUUAUGUUAAAACGUAAUAUUAAGAAAGACUCGACUUUUAUAAAUUAAAGAGGAGAGAGAGUAAUAAAGAAGAUAAUAAUAAGUUUAGGGGCAUUCACCUCAUAUAUAUUAAAAUAAACUAUUGGAUUCAUAGCUAGUGUUGGAAGUGAGUUGGGCUUGGGUCAGGUGAAACUAUGUCAUAGCCCGGCCUAAAAUAAAAUUGGGUUUUAGUCGGACUUUUGCUUAAUUUUUUGAAACGAUUAAGGUCCGGCCCAAACUACUAGAAAGGUCUAACUAAUUAAAUCUUUAGGGUAAAACUAUGUAUGUAUAAUAUAUUACUAGUUAAGGGACCCGCGCGAUACUACGGGUAGUUAUUUAAAAAUUUAAUUUUGAAAAUUAGUUAUAAAAAUCAAUUUCAGAAUUUAAAUAGUGUAAUAAGUACAUCAAAAAAUUUUAGUUUAUAGUAGUCCCCCAUUAGUUAGUGAAAUAAUUUUAGUAGGUAUCGUAGUCCCCCAGUAGUUAGUGAAUGAGAAGAGAAAUCAUGCUGCGGAUAGUUAUUUUAAAAUUUAAUUUUGAAAAUUAGUUAUAAAAUAAAUGUAGUUAUCUUUCCUAAUGUAAUAAGAAAUAAUUUUUAGUAGGCAUCUAAUCUCCCAGUAGUUGGUGAAAUAAUUUUUAGUAGGUAUCGUAGUGCAAUAAGUAUAUCUAAUACCAAUAGUCUAAAUUAUUUAACAUUUAUUUAUAUAUUUUAUAUUUUAUAAAUAUAAAUAGUAAAUUAUAUAAUAAAUUAUUAUAUAAUAAUAUAUCUAUAUAACAAUAAAAUACUAUAUAUAAUAAAUAAAUAUAUAUUUAUAAAUAAAUUAUAUAUAUAUUAUAUAAAUAAAAUUAAUAUAUAUAAUAUAUAUAUAUAUUAUAUAUAAUAUAUAUAUAUAUAUAGUAUAUAAUAUAUAUACGUAUAUAUAUAUAUAUAUAUAAGAGAGAGAGAGAAAGAGAGAGAGAAUGAGAGGGAGGUCCACGCGGGACCUCCUUCAAUGUGUCCACGAGGGCCACUGAAAACCCGGCCGUUGCAACCCAACCCACCCAGAGCCGCGAUUUUUUUGAGGCUCCCGGCGCAACCGCGCCCGCGCCUCGUGGCAAAGUCGCGCUGCGCUGCACCCCGCCCACGGCCGCCCUUUGGGCGCCCCGCCGGCUGCACGAUCGCCCCCGGCGGCGCAGCGUGUCGAUCGUUGGCGGCUAACACAUUAAUCCCAAGCUUGAGGCUGUUUAGAAAAGACGCAGCACCAUCACUAAAGCAUACAGAAACAUUGCGCCCUACGGGUCUUCGAUUGUGACUCGCCCACAAUGGCCUCAUCCAGCUUCGAACAUGCUCGGCCCAACGCUAGCCUCAGUCAUUUCGAACGAUCUGACUCUCCGGCCCACAUGGCCGUCGCCCACAGGCAGGAUGGCUGGCGCCAUUUAAUCCAACAAUAUCUCCCUCAGCAGCCUGCACAACAUUUGCAGCAUGCAGGAAUCGAACCCGUGACCUCAUGGCUCUGAUAUGCACUUGUCGAUGUGGUGGCCGCUAACCAUUAAUACGCAAUAGCUCGAGCUGUUAGAAAUACGUAACCUAAUUCACUUAAAUAGCGUACGGAAACCAGCGCCCCAAGGUCUCGCAUUGUGACUCGGCCCACCUGGCCUCACGCCACUUUGAACAGACUCGGCCCAACCUAUGGCCUCACGCCAUUUCCGAACAUGACUCGGCCCAAUAUGGCCUCGAUCAUGCCGCCAUAGGGCAGGAUGCUGGCCCAUUUAAGUCAACACCAGCGUGGCGCGAGCCCACCCACCGGGCGCCACGCCGUCGCCCGCGCCUGGCCCCCGCCGACCAGCCCCGCGCCUCGCGCCCUGAGCCUCACCGCGCCCGCGCCAGCGCACCCCACCCGCGCGUGCUCCCGCGCGUCUCAGCUUCCUCGUGACAGCUGUGCAGUUAUUGAGGAAUAACAUAUAGUUAUAAUUAUAGAUUUAAGAUUAAGAUUAUAGAUAUCCUCAAUUUCUUAUAUAGGUAAUAUAAUCUAAUUAAAUAUCAUAUAAGCUGCUGACGUUAACUAACAAUCUGGCUUUCGCUUAGGCCCCAAGUUAUAAAUUUGAUGCCAAUAGUCGGCCCAUACACGGCCCAUUGGGUCGGGCUUAAAGAUAAUUAUCGUUCUGCGCUUCUUGACUAAAUAAAUGGGAAUUAUGUAUUUGGAAGUGGAGGAUUUAUGGGGUGCAGGAACUAGAAGCAAAAUAUAUAAAAUAAAAAGGGGCAAUUACAUUUACACCCAUGAAAAGUUUCAAAAUUUCUUAGUUACCCUGCUUAGAAUGCUAAUAUAAAGAUAUAUACCUUUUCAAUAUUCCAAGUUCUUUCAAAUAUAUCUCUAAAGUUAGAUUUUGUUAGUGAACUGUGUUAGAAACAGUUAUUAUCACUACAAUAGAAUUAGGUUAUAGGGACACAUGUUUGGGACACUUUUGAGUAAGUGUCCCAUUUAUGCUAAAACUUGAAAAAACAUCUACUAAUACCUAAAUAUAAAUCCCAAUCCAAAUAAAAAUAAAAGAUUACUCUACUCAACCCACCACACCCAGUCCAUUUGGCCCGAUUACAAACAGAAAAGAAAAAAAAAAAAGAAAAAUCAAUUACCAUAUUUUCUUCUCUCUUCGCUCAAUCCACUGAAAUUCUAAACGAAAAGCCAUUCCUGUCGUCCUCCUCCGCCACCGCAGCCAACGAGAUAGAGUUUCGACAGUUGCUAAAUGCUUAAAUAAGUUGUUGGUAAAUUAGCAGCACUCUUUUAGUUUAUAGCGACACUCUUUAACUGUCACUAUAUACCUAGCGACCCACAUAUAGCAACACUUUUUAAAAGUAUCGGUAAUUUUAGCUAGCAGCACUUUUUUGACAUGUACCUACAUUUAAAAGUGUCGCUAUAGACCGUUUUUGUUGUAGUGUAUCUCUGUAAAAUUACUAUUUUAUCUUUUCAAGUACAUCAUUCUACUAUCACAAAUUUUUCUUAUUUGCUCUUAAAUUAGAGGCAAAAGAAAUAUUUUGACUUUUUUUUUAACUGGAAUAAAAAUUUAAUCCGGAUUUAAUUCGAGAUGGCGUAACGGGUACUAACAAUAGGGUUAUUCAAAAAAUAAUGGAGAAAUAUACGAGAAGUAUAUUUGAAACAAAAAAAAAGGUUAGGACUAUAUAAUAUAUUUCAGAAGUUUUGAGAAUAUAAUAUGUAAUUAUCUCUAAAAUAAAUUAAAGAUACAAGUUUUAAAACAUGCAAAUGUAAAAAAUAAUUGGCUUGACCUGCAUCUCCUUUUCUAUCAUAAAAGUACGAUAUUAAAAUGCUACCGACUUCUCUCCAGUGUAGGGUUAAAAAGCAGUAGAGUCAUGGUAAGUUGUGCUUCUGAGACUCAAAAUCUAGUUUUCAUUCCAUGCUACAAUCAAAAGUAAUUGAGCUAGAUAUACUUAGGAAGUAUCAUCCUUUGGUUCUAUUAGCGUUUUAGCUUUGAAUCUACUCCUUGAUUACUAAUACUUUUUAAUCAAAUAUUAUCCACUACCAUCACCAUCUACCACUAUCAUCUCAACCUACAUCUCUCGUCCAAUGAUCAACUAAAAACUCAAAAGCACCACCUUUAUGGUGCUUUUGAGAAGUAUUCUUGCUCAACUACAUUACAAGUUAUCUUUUUUAAAAAAAACUUUUUGGCUUCUUAAACACUAUAAAAAUUAGGUAUAUGCUACUAAAUGUGAAAAAAAGGCAGGUGGGACCGAAAAAACCCUUAGUAUGCAUGAUGUCCUUGAAGUGUAGAAUUUUUUUAUUUUUUAUUUUUUGUUACUAUUUGGGGCCACUUUGCAAGAGUCUACUAAUUAAUUAGCUAAGUUCAAUUUUGCUGAAACGACACUAAUGUCCUUUCCUAAGUAACUUGGGUAGACACGAUAAACCCUAACACGUGGGCGGUUUAAUCAAUUGAAAUGGACAUGAGCGACUAAAAAUUUAUACAGCAUCUCUCAAAACCUCAUUAAUUACUUCAUAAUAUAUAUAUAUUUCAAUGUGUGGAUCUAAAUCAUAGGUUAAUUAGUUCGGCCCCAUUCUAAAUCUAGCUUGCGCACGUAGAGUGGACGCCUAACCUAUAUCCCAUGCAUAUAAUUAAAGCCCCCACUAAAAUCAUUUUAUAGCGUUUAUGAGGUUCCAUUAUAUCAUCAUGGAGCUUUAAUAUUAUGUAAGGUAAUCCUUUGGACUGCAGUGUGGACUCGUGUUGAUUAAGCCAUGACGAACGUACUGAAACCGAUGGAAACAAAUUCAUGAGACCCGAAGUUUAAAUUAAGCCUCAUUUGGUAUUCUAUAAUCUUGUUUUCUGUUUUUUUUUCUUUUUUCUCAAAAAUAAAGUGUGUAUAUAUAUAUAUAUAUAUAUAUAAUAUAUAUAUAUAUAUAUAUUAUUACAAUGAAUUGUUCAGGAGAUAUAUAUAGCACAAUAAAAAAAAAAAACAACGUGUAGACAUUUUUUGCAAACUUAAUUGCAGUCGUGCUAUGACGCUAAUUCUUGCAUUUUCUUUAGUUUAGGAAGAGUGAUUACCCAUUCGGGAGUGAUUGUAUCAGUGUAUUCUGCUAUUUAUAAUUAUGAUAUUUUCUUUCUAAAUAAGGAAUUAUUGCGUAUGUUCCUUCCCUAAACCCUUAAUUAUUUACUAUUUGCAUUUUUUUCAUUUGAAAAUGAUUAUUUGUAAGGAAAAAGGCCGUUUCUAUUGCUACUUUUUUCUUUUUUUUUUUUUCCUUUUCAAAAUUGCUACUUUUCCUUUCCUUUUCUUUUUUUUUUUUUUUUUUUUGGUCAAAUGCAGUUGGCACAAAAAACAGAAUAUUUGAGAAGCUUUCUUCCUUUUUUUUCUUCCUUUUGUUUCUUUGGAAAAGAUGUCUUUAGUAUUUGGACCAGACUGUAUUAUAACAAGUAAACAAUGACGAAGCAAAAUUUACAGCAACACAUCCAACAAAUUAUUUUUUUAUGGAAAUUAAAAAGGCAACAGUGCGCACUAAAUUAAACCCUUAGUAACUCAUUUUCAUGGAUUUUGUUUCUUUAAAGAACCAUUCACUGUCUAUUAAGUGAAUAACCAACAACAGACAAAAUAAAAAUGUCCGUCCACUGUUACAUCCAAUCGCAUAGAUUUUGUUUAGAAAAACACACACACACCACAGCACACCACACACCACACAACAAAAGAAGAAUGAUUAGGCUAAGCUGUUUAUGUGUUCUGAUUUGAUAGCAUUUUUUACUAUGGUUUGGUUACAAUGAUAACAAAGUUUCAAUUAGGUCCCUACCAGUAAACUGAUAACAAAGUUUCAAUUAGGUCGCUAAUUAAGUUCCUUGUGUGGAGGACUCUUAUAAGUAACUUCUAAAUUAAGGACAGUUUACUUGUGAUCUGAUUCAUGAAUCUAUCACAAUAUCAAUAAUGCGCUGGAAUAUUUUGUUUCUCCAAUUUGACAAUAAUCCUUUACCUGUUUUGACCGGUUGCCAAAAAGAGAUGGUUCAACACGACAAGGCUGCUGAUACGGGGAUAAAGAGAACCAAAAUGAGUAGUUACCCAUUCACACUAUUCAUAGGAAGAUGAAAGGUCAUGAGCUUUUCAAAUUAAUAUAUAGAGCAAAUAAUCCCGUGCAAGGUUAAUUUAUUGUGUUGAAUUUAAUUAACUUGCAUAUAUAGUCUCAAACAAGGGUAUGUAUAAUUGCCGAGAAAAGCUGUGAAAUCAUUGCAUGCACCUGGUACGUCAUACUAAACUACUAUUUUCUCGACUAAGAUAUAACUUGUACAGUCCCAUUGAAGAAAGGAGAUCGAACUCUAUCUCUAGCUAUUAAUCAGAAAAAGAAUAUAUAAGGUACUAAUUAAAUUCAAGUCUGCAUAUAUAUAUAUAUAUAUAUAUAUAUUAUUAAUUCUUGAGGUUCGAUGUGCGGGAACUUAAGUUAUUAGAGAAAUAUGAUUAUUAAUUUCUUUACCACCAUCCGCCGUCAAAUAUAUAACGCACUCCGAGUUCUAAAUGGAGAUCGAAAAGUUGUCUCCCAAACAUGCAUGUUGGAGAUUAUUUUGAAGUUUAUGGCGCCAUGCAUGAUGAACGGUUGAGAAGGUGCAGUGCAUGGCAAAUACAGAUGCACCUGGUGCAGGCAAUAACUUCUAAGAAGGAGAAUAAGCCUUACAUCACCUUUUCGUUAGGAAGAGCUCUCGACAAAGUUAAAUUAGUGAGUGCUAGUUGGCCAAAAUUAAGGCGCCACAAGAAGCCUCGGAAAACCACGGGUCUAAUCCAUAGUAUUAUAAAUAAUUCGUAGCCAUCAGCAGCUGAUGACAACCAUAUGCCUGACUUAAACGGUGUAGUGAUGCCACACCAAACACAUACAUAUAUACAUAUGUUACCACAUGCAACUAAGUUGAAACCCUAGGCCAUGUCUCUCAAGUCCAAAGCAAGGGCCCCAGUGUACGUAUAAUUUAUAUAUAGAAGGGCUACUUAAUUGGGAACUAACACAAUGGGAGGAUGGAGAUCAGACCAGUGUGCAUGCAUGCCAUUAACCCGACGUUGUAGCAAAGUCUAGAGGGACUUCUCCCUAACAAGCAAUUCUUACGACACUACUCUUCCUCCAUUGGAAUUUGGGAGACUAGCUGUAGUAUGGAAGGAGCCUAGGGUGGGAGAGAACUCAUGACUAUUGCUGCCGCCUGGUGGGUUGUGUGGCUUGAGAGUAACAGAAGGAUUUUUGUUCAUUCAAAACUCUCGCUGGGGCUUUUGUCUUCGGAGGUUAGAAACCUUAAGCGCCAAUGGACGAAUUGUUGUUCUAGUGUUCAGCGUUAAGCGGGUUUUCUUCUUCUUCUUCUUCUUCUUCUUUCCUCUUCUUCUUCUUCUUUCUUUCUUCUUUUUUUUUUUUUUUUUUUUUUUUUUUUUUUUUUUUUGCGUUCGUUCUGAAGCCCGGUUGCUUCACAUUAUAGACAAGUUCAUUUGUGUAAUGAAUGAAGCGGUAGCAUGCUACCUUCUCUCAAAGAAAAAAAAACUUUUACAUACCCCUCUGGUGGGGUUUAUCGCUAGUUUUAUUAGUUUAGUAUCAUGUGGUUUUAACUGUAUUACUCAAGUAUUUGGUGAGUUUUUGUUUUUCCUUUUGGUUAGCACCUCUGUUAUCUCCUCAGUUAAAAUCGUCAUGUGCCGUGCACAUGCGUUAGAGAUAUCCCAUAUCCCACAGAGAUUGAUAAUAAAAGCAUCAGAAAUAAAAAAAAAUUAAAAGGCAUGACACCCCUUAUUAGGGUUAAUCUUGAUUAUUUUUGGAGAGCUCCCGACGGUGAAGAUCGGUAACGAUCUACAACAUAUGCGGGCGGCACCCACGAUUUUAAUAGAAAGGAUGAUAGAAGUGCUAAUUAAUAUAAAAUGAAAACAGAAAUCACAAGAUACUGAAGUGAUGUAGUUAAAAUCACAGUGUAUUAAAAUAAAAAACGAUGAACCACAUUGGGGAUAUCUAAAAUUUUUCAAAAAGAAAAAGAAAAGAAAAAUACACUAAGAAAUAUUUAUGAUAGGUAGAAAUUAAUGUUAGAAUAGAUUGUUAUAUAGCCAAGAAUGGAAGACAAACUUAAUUUCUCCAGUUCUGAAAAGAAUAUGUUGUAAGCCUACGAGCUCGUAAGGGAUCGUUCAUUUUACUAAUCUUUCAUAUUUUGUGGUGAUCGAUGUUUAUUUAUAUUUAGAGUGAUUAGUUAAUUAGCGACUAACCAUAUCACUUGGUUUGUGACAUUGUUGGGGACUAAUUAACUAGUAUUCUUUCUAAUAGAUUACUUAAUUGCGCCUCACAUCAAAUCUAGAAAUUAAUAACAAAACCUCCUAAGUCCUAACCAAUAUUGUUUUAGAGAAAUAGGUAGCAAGCUACCUGCUUCAUUCAUUAAGUAAAAUGAAUUUAGCGUACAAUUUGGAAGCAGUUAGGGCCUCCGAACCGAGGGAACAAGAGGAGAAAGACAAGAAAAAAAAAACAAGAGAACAAAAACCAGGUCCAUGAGAUCCAGUAAACACGAGCAAACCAAAAAUAAACAAAGGGGUGACCGAGGGCAGAGCACCAAGGUCGGGAGAUAAUCAAAGUGCUUCGUUCCAGGCUUCGAUCAAAACGGCGACACGUUCGAGAGCCCUGGAAACAUUAAGGGACACGUCGCGGAAGCACGCGCCAUUAUGCUCCGUCUAGACAACCCACCAAAUUGCCGCCAAAUUGGUUAACAAUUUUGAUCUUGUAACGGCCUCGGGAAUGUCUGAGAUCUGUGUCCACAGGUGGCGUACAUCCCCCACAUCCGAAAUAUCCUCCACUAAGGCUCUAGCUUUAAAACGAAGAAAUCUGACGACGAUACAGUCGUGGAAUAGGUGGUCAACGGUUUCGGCUAGUAACAUACAGAACCUACAGUGCUGAUCCACAAUGCGCCCUCGGCGAAUCCUAACCAAUAUUGUUAUUGCAAUAUGCCUACUAGCUGAGAAUUUUUUAUGAUUUUACAAUUUCAUCAAUCUUCCCAAUUUAAAUCACUUGCUAACAAUUUGGAUAUUUUGAAUAGAAAGUGUGAAACGUUUGUGCGCGGAAUAUUACAAGUUGUAAAAUAAACUGCCAUAAUUAAGGUUAGUCUUGUGUCCAUCAAAGGAAACAUUUAUAAAGAAGAUGAAAUCCAUAACACUAUUUUUUGGUUGGGGACAAGGGUGGGGAUAAGGGGUGGGGAUAAGGGGUUAUCCCCGUCUUGUUCCCCAAACACUAUUUUUAAGGGUGGGAACUAACUAUUCCCAUAACCCGUUAAGGGUGGGAAUAGCUAGUUCCCACCCUUAGGUGGAAUAGGGGUGGGAACAAGUUGUUCUCACCCCUAUUUUUUAAAAAAAAUUAAAAAUUAAAAAUUUUAAUUUUAAUUUUAGUUUUAAAAAUUUAUAAUUGGUAAUUUCAAAAUUCAAGUUUAUAGUUUUAAAUUUUAAAUUUUAAAUUUUAAUAUUAAAUUUUAUAUUUUUUAAUAUAAAUUUGAUAUUUAUAUUUUAAAAUUUAAAUUUGAUCUUAAAUUUUAAAUUUUAAAAUUAAAAAUUUUAAUUUUUGAAUUUAAAAAAAAGUAUUUUUAGGAUCACCCUGCUUGUUCCACCCAUGAAGAGAGAGAGAGAGAGAGAGAGAGAAUUUUUAAUUUAUUAUAAAAUUUAAAUUAUAAAUUCAAAAAUUAAAAUUUAUAAUUUUAAAAUUACAAAAUUAAAAAUUUAAAUUUUAAAUUGUUUAAUUUAAAAUUUAAAAUUUUGAUAUUUAAAUUUUUUUUAUAUUUAGAAUUUGAUAUGUUAUUUUUUAAAUUAAAAUUUCAUCUUAAAUUUAAUGUUCAAACUUUAAAAAAUUAAUUUUUUAAAAUUAUAAAUUUGAGAUUUUAAAAUUUAAAAUUUUAAUUUUAAUUUUUAAAUUAAAAGUUUAUAUUUUAACUUUUAAAAUAUAAAUAUAAAAUAUAAAAGUUUAAAUUCUAAUAUAAAAAAAAAGAUAAUAUCAUUAUUUUUUAUUUUUAACUACCAACUUUAAUUCUUAUCCCAUCUUACCUAACCAAACACUAUUUUUUCUUAUUCCCAGCAAUAACUCAAUUUUCAUCCAAAUGCAAAAUUGAUCUAAUCCUCGCUUAUACCUCAAUUUAUACCUAUCUCCGAAAUACCCACUUUUUGCUUAUCCCCGAACCAAACGAUGCCUAAAAGAAUAUAUAUAUCUCCCUUAGAUUUUUGAACUAGAGAAACUUUUUUAACUUGCACCGUCCAAUAUCUAUUUUUCGAACGCGUGCCCGAAAAAAAAAAGGGAAAAAAAAGAGAGAAGAAAUUGCUUCAAUUGUCCACAGUUUCACGACUACAGUUUGCAAUUUUCAUUGCGCAUUAAAAGCAGUGGGUGGUUUCCAUAGAAGAAUUAAAGCGCAGGGCUUGGUCCAUUUGCAUCCUCGAUUCAAUGAGAGAGCUUUUCAUUAAAGCACGGAAAAUGAUUAAAUGAUGCCUCAGAAUAAUAUUUUUAUUGGUGCCUUGCUUAUAGGAAGAGACUUUGACAACUUUAAUUAAUUAUUUUAGCUAUUUUUGGGACGUGCAUGGUAGAGAGAGAUUAAAGAGAAGACCGGAGAAAAAUGAGGUGAGAGACUGAGAGAUUCUGCAUGAAAACUGUGGGAGCGAUAUAAUUAAUCAUGCAAUAAUUUUUUUUUUUCCACUUUAUUUGUAGCUAAUUGAGAGAGAGAUAAACAAGUCUCGGGCCCAUAUUGAAAAUUGGAACCUUUGAGUGGGAGAGAAUAUAUAUUUAUGUAACAGCUCUCGGCCUUAGCGUUUUUACUUGUAAAGUCCGUACGUCGCCCACUUUUUGCCCACUUUUCUUUGCAAAAAUGGACAAGUUUUUAUCCCUAUUGCUAAUUGGGACUUUCGCAUCCUACAACUAAGUAUGCAAAGGAAAGAAAAGAGAGACAUGGAUUAACCUAAAAAAAUUAAGUACUUUUAAUUAUUUAGAAAAAAAGGAUUACAACACGUACAUACUCUUUUAUAUGUUUUGGCUUUAGCACUACAACAAAAACAGUAUAUAGAGACACUUUUAAAUGUCGGUAUAAGUUAAAAAAAGUGUUGUUGGCUAAAUUACAGACACUUUUUAGAAGUGUUGCUGUAUGUGGGGUCGCUAGGUAUAUAGUGACACUUUAAGAGUAUCAAUAUAACUUAAAAGGAAUGCUACUAAUUUACUAACACUUAUUUAUAUAAGCAUUUAGCAACCGCCGGAACCCUACCUCGUCGGUUGCGACGCGGAGGAGGAGGAGGAGGAGAGGGAGGGGCUCUUUGUCUAGGGUUUCAAUGGAUUGAGUAAGGGGAGAAGGAAAGAUGGUGAUCUAUUUUUCUUUUUUUUUUUUUCUCUUUUCUAUUUGUAAUCGGGACGAAUAGGCUAGGUGGGGUGGGUUGAGUAGAAUAACAUUUUAUUUUUGAUUGGAUUGAGCUUUAUAUUUAGGCCUUAGCAGAAUUUUUUAAAAGUUUUGGCAUAAAUGGGAUACUUAUACAAAAGUGUUCCAGAAAUGAGUCGACAUAACCUAACUCUGUUGUAGUGUAGCCACAUUCAAUAUGUAUAGGCCUAGAGAUACAAUGAACCUAGCCACCAUAACUUACCCACUAACUCACACAUAAUGAGCACUCAUAAAAGUUAAGCCCAAGAGUCUCUCCCACAACUUUUGGCAGUUUUUUUUUAAGGGAUAAUGGGGCAUAAUGGCAAUAGUUUUGCAACCCUAGAUUAUCUCACAAUGGGCCGGAUUCGGGUCUCCUUGACAAUCCGGUUCGACCCAUUCCAGCUUGCGAAGUUGGGCCAAGGAACGAGCUGUGUAGAAUUUUUCUAAGUCUCUGACGCUCUCCUACUAAUGCGCAAGCCUCCUCGUCGCAUGCUGCUUUUGGAACUCAUCAAUGAGCGCUUGGUAUAGCCAAAGUGUAUUCGUUUUUUACCAACUACUCUUGCCAUAGGGGAGAUGUUUUUCACUUCACUAAGUACUCAGGACUCGGUAGCACUCUAUGUCACCGAAUGAGUCGAGUGUUCAGGAUGGAUUUCGCUUGUUUGUCGAACGAAGUGACCAUGGUCACAGGUGCUCGCUGUGACACACCACGGCUUGGAUCCUCCGCAUCUUCGUGGUGCAGCUUCAGCCUGCUGACAUAAAAGACGUGGUGGAUCUUGAGGUUCACGGGCAGUUGCAGCUUGUAGGCUCCCUCGCCUACACGCUUGACGACGGUAAAGAGGCCUUCAUACUUGCGCGGUAGUCCCUUGUGCACCUUUCGCAAGGCCUUGAACUGCUGUGGCUGAAACUUGACCAUCAGCGGUCUCCCUCAGUGAACUACUGAGGUUGCCACUUUUCGUUAGCCCACUUCUUCAUCCGUCGUGCUGCUUUCUCCAAGUUCGCCCUUGCAAUUUCACCCUUUUCCUGCAAGUUAGUGGUAAACUGAAGAGCAACAGGGCUGCGGAAUUGCUCUUCUGCAGCAAUCGUAUGUGGGGCAAGCAGUUGUCGCCCGGUCGCUAGCUCGAAGGGGCUGCAGCCUGUAGACUCGCUGUGCCGCAAGUUGUAGGAAAACUAGGCAACAUCAAGUUGAUGCACCUAAUCCUUCUGGUUGGUACUCACAUAAUGCCGCAAGUACUCUUCCAACAGAGCAUUCACCCGCUCCAUUUGCACGUUUGUCUAUGGGCGAAAACUGAUGGAGAAGAGCAACUCGGACCCCAAGAUUUUGAACACCUGAUUCCAAAACUUGCCAGUGAACCUAGGGUUGCGGUCGCUCAUCAUGCUCGUGGGGACCCCCCAAAGCUUGACGAUGUGGCUGAUAAAGAGGUGUGCCGCUUCUUCAGCCGUGCAAGCGGUCGGUGCAGUGAUUAAGGUCCCGUACUUGAAAAAAUGAUCAAUCACCAUCAGAAUGGACCCGAGGUCUCCCACCUUUAAUUGGCAAGGCAGAGAUAAAGUCCAUAGAGAGACUUUUCCACAGACGGCUAGGCAUAGGAAAAGGCUCGAAGAGUCUGCUAGGUCGCUGGUGCUUUGUCCUGUUGACACACCAAGCAGGUUCGCAUGUAGGUCUCAACAUCUUUGUGCAUCCGCAGCCAAAAGUGGGCGGCCUCGAGCAAUGUCAGGGUCCGCUUCUGACCUGGGUGGUCUACCCACUUGGAGUCAUUACACUUCUUUAUAUGCUCAUGACGAAGGUUGCCCACUUGGGCACGUGCACCCAUCGCUCCUUAGUGAGGAGCAGCCCGUCGCUCAGUCAAAACCUUCACAUUUUGCCCUCCUUAACAAGUUGCACUAAAUUUUGAGCAAUAGAGUCCUCAUUGGUUCCUAAACGAAGUCGAUCGUGAAGCAUCCCAUGAAGUUGCCACGCGGUUGCAAGUUCAGCCUUGCUCUGAGAGCAUUAGCCAUUUAGUUUUUCUUCUCGGGCUUGUAUUGCAUCUCCAUAUUGAACUCCGCCAAGAAAUCCUCCCACCUCACUUGUUUAGGUGAUAGUUUCUCUUGCGAUAGGAUGUAGCUCGUGACGACGUUGUCGGCGUGCACCACAAACUUGCUCCCAAGCAAAUAGUGCCGCCAGGUUUGCAAGCAAUGCACCACAACGGUCAUUUCUUCUCCUAGACGGUGUAACGCCACUCGGUGUCGUUGAGCUCGCGUAGGUGAUGGGGUGUCCAUCUUGCACGAGAACACCGCCAAUGGGAAAGUCAAAGGUAUCAGUGUGUACCUCAAAAGUGCGAUUGCAGUUGGAUAGUCGCAGCACUGGAUUUUUCGUCUCCGCUCGCUUGAGGUCCUUAAAUGCCUCCGCACAUUGAGAGGUCCAAACCCACGAGUGGUUUUUCUUCAGCAGAUUAGUUAGCGGGACUGCUCUUGUAGGGAAGUCCACAAUGAAGCGGCGGUAAUAGUUGACGAGCCCAAGGAAAGGCCACAACUCGGACACCGUUGUUGACGUCUCACAUUCGAAAAUAGCUCGAACCUUCUGCUGGUCCAUGCGAAUUAGGCCCUGGCUUAUCCAGUGGCCAGUGGCCAAGAAAGUGCACUUCUUCCUUCACGAACAUGCAUUUUUCCUUCUUGAGGAACAACUGAUUCUCCCGCAGCACUUGGAAGACGGUUCGCAAGUGCUCGAUGUGCUCCUCUAAGGUAUUAUUGUAUACCACGAUGUCGUCGUGGUACACCACUACAAAACGAUCGAGGUAGGGAUGGAACAUCUUGUUCGUGAGCGUGCAAAAGGUUGCUGGAAUAUUCGUCAGGCCUAACGGUAUGACAAGAAACUCAUAGGCCCCGUACCUUGACAUGUACGUGGUCAUUUUCUCGUCUCCUUCCGUAAUUCGCACUUGAUAGUACCUAGAGCGAAGGUUGAGUUUGGUGAAGUACUACGCUCCGCCCAAUUGAUCGAAAGAUCUGCAACCAAACGGAUUAGGUUCUUGUUUGUAGCAGUUACUUUGUUAAGCGCCCUGUAAUCGAUACAGAGCCAUAGGUUUUUGUCGCUUUUUUGCUGGAACAAAAUUGGUGCUCUAUAUGGGGCGAGGAGCUCCUUCAAUUAUUUUUGCAGCUCCUCGAGCUCUAGCGGGGCCAUUCUAUAUGGCGCUUUCGCUAGAGGUUUGGCUCUUGGCUCGAGCUCGAUAGCAUGAUCCACCUCCUGUCUGGGUGGAAGUUGCUUAGGCAAGUCCUUUGGCAUGACAUCAUGAAACUCUGUCAAUACCGCCUUAAUCUCCAUCGGAAGGCUCUCUUCCUCGAGGCCCUUCUCACUCACCUUGUAAAUGGCCGCAAGGUACGUCAUCUCACCACGGCUCACACCCCUUCGCAACUGCAAGGCAGAGAGGGUCUGGAUGCUCACCGUUUUCUCCUGGCUGGCUAGGACCAUACACAGAGCCGCCUCUUUCAGAUGCUUAAGGCCCUAAGGUGUGGCAUCGGGACCGCCUUCGACGAAGCCAAGAAGUCCAUACCUAGUAUGACUUGAAAGUCGUCGAUAUUGAAAAAUAUUUCUGAUCUUUUAUUAAAAUAUUUUUUUAAAAUAAUUCGAAAGUUUAAUUUUAGUUUUAAAAAAAUUUUGAGAAAAAAAUAAAUAAUAAAUACUGUAAAAAAAAGAUUAGAAAAUGGUCAUGGAUCGAGACAUGUAGAGGAUUGUCCUAGAAGCGAAAUUGACCCUCCACAUGCCAGGCUUUCCAGUAAUUACUUUCAGCGAUAUAACUACCACGUUCCACCGCGUCGGCACACUUUCAAGGUGGCGCAAGAUGAACCCAACAUGCUUCAGAUCCAGCAAAAUAUGAAAAAGCUUGGCGAAAAUCGGCGCAAAAGAUCAAUGGCGAGAAAACAGAAAAAGGCAAGAUAGAGUAUAGGGUUUUGCUUUUAGGUAUGCCCGAGUUCAGGUUGAACUCAUGCAACCUCCUCCAAUAUAUAUAAUCAAGGCAAGAAUCUUGCUUCAACGCAUCAAUUCCAUGUAGCACAAGAUAAGCCUAAUAGGAUUAUGAUUAAAAUUAUGAUAAAGAUGAAACCAAAAAAUAAAAAUAAAAUAAAAUAAACCGGGUGCAUGAAUCACGUGCAGCGCCGCACGACCGGCCCGACUCGUGCUCGUGCCGUGCAUGCGUUUUGUCGAGAGCAUAACUCUCAUCUUUUUUCAAGCAACUAUCUUGAGAAUGAAGCAAUAUAUAAAUAGCAACAACUCACCUUUAGUUUCCAAUGUGGGACUAAACCUCAUAUAUGGAAACCUUAGUUGGACUCCUAAGUAAGGCCCAUCAAGUAUUGGGCUGUCCAAGAGGCUAAAUAAGUUUUAAAUCACCAAAAAAAUCCAAUGCAAUCUAAGAUUCCCCUACAUGAUUUAAAACUUUAAAGAAAGUAACUAAACUGAGAUUCGAAACAGCUCAAAAGAAUGCUGGAUCUCUUAUACCACGUAUUCGGCAAAGGUAACUUUCGGGUUUGAGCCUUUACUUAGUGCUCGUCAAUGUACAUCCGAGGGCACGAUGGUGGACUAUGCCUUGAACAAAGGCCGGUGAAUCGGAUUUCUAUAAACAACACACAUAGUACAACCAUUUAGGUUCUAAGCGGGUGAGCGCUUUUAUGGCCAUGCGUUAGUAUCAUUUCGUAUGUAUUUUAGGGAACCGACCUCUUCCCAUAGUCACGGCCUCACGACUCUACACAUAUAGUAGGUCCUCAAAGGGUAUCUGCAAGGUCAUACCCUGCCGCCAUAGGGAUGAGGAUGUAAAAAUAAUGCAGAUUUGUUUCUAUCCACUUGUAGAUUUGAGCACUGUCGCCAUAGGGAUGAGGAUAUAAAAAUAAUGCUUCUCAUAGCUACCUGUUCGAUUUGUUACUACCUAUUGAACCUACAACAAGUUGGGUUGCCAUCGCUGGUAACUUCUAUUGUGGGCUAAGCCCCAUCCCCCUUGACGAUUCUAGGAUCAUUAUCCUAGAUAAUUCCUUCAUAAGGUGAUCAACCGAAUUUUUUGUAAAUUUCACAAAUUUCAAUCCAAUCAUAUUUUCCUUCAAAUUCUUCCGAAUGAAUUUAUGUCUCACUUUCAUGAAUCUAUUUAUCUUAAUUAAUACAUUCUCUUAGGCAUACUUAUCUAUUACAGAUCUACAAUCACAAGGAAUAUAUAUAGAUGCUAAAGAUCGUUCCAUAAGUGGUAAAUCAUAAAAAAACUUUCUAAUACACUUAGCUUCUGUUACAGUAGUAUCCAAAGCUAUAAGUUCAGAUUCCAUAGUACUUCUAGCAAUCAAAAAUUGUUUAAUUGAUUUCCAAGAAACAGCUGCUCUUCCUAUGAGAAAAUUAAAUCCAGCAGUCGACUUUACAUCAGCUGUAUCACCGAUCCAAUCCGCAUCACUAUAUCCUUCCAAUACUGCAGUAAAAUUAGUGUAAUACAAAUACAUAGGAUAUAGUCCCCUUCAAAUAUCUCAAAACUCUUUGUAGGGCUUUCCAAUGCUCUCUAUUUGGAUUAUGGGUAUAUCUUCUCAAUCGAUUUACAGUAUAAGCUAAAUUAGGUUUAGUGUAAUCUACCAGUUAUUCUAAGGAUUCAAUAAUUUGUGAAUAUCUAUUUUGACCUGUUGGAUCUUCUCUAUUAUUCUUAAGAUGCAUACUAGAAUUAUAGGGUGCUACUACAGGUUUGACAUCAAAGUAUCCAAACUUUUUCAACAACUGUUUACUAUAGUGGGAUUGGCUCAUAAUAAUUUCUUUCGAUUUUCUAAUGAUUUUCAUAUUGAGGAUAACAUCUGCUUGUCCAAGAUCUUUUAUAUCAAAUUUUUUAUUUAAUAAUUUCUUCACAUCAUAUAUCACAUUCAUAUUCAUACCAAAAAUCAAAAUAUCAUCAACAUACAAACAUAAGAUCACUCUAUGUCCAUCAUAUUCCUUCAAAUAUACACAUUCAUCAAACAUGUUCACAUGAAAACUAUUUGAUACAACCAAAGAGUCAAAUUUUAAAUGCUACUGCUUAGGAGCUUGCUUAAAUCCAUAUAAAGAUCUAUUUAAUUUGCACACUUUGUUCUCAUGCCCAGAAACUAUAAAGCCUUCAGGUUGCUUCAUAUAAAUUUCUUCAUUUAAAUCACCAUUCAGAUAGGCUAUCUUAACAUCCAUUUGACGAACAAUCAAAUUAUGGAUAGAGGCUAAGAUAAUCAACACUCUAAUAGAAAUAAUCCUAACAACAGGAGCAUAAACAUCAAAGUAAUCUACCCCAGGCUUCUGUGCAAAUUCUUGUGUCACUAAUCUAGCCUUAUUCUUAUCUACAGAUCCAUCGGGUCUCAAUUUUUUCUUAAAGAUCCAUCCACAACCUACAGGCUUACAUCCUAGAGGUAAAUCAGUCAACUCUUAAGAAUGAUUCUGCAAAAUAGACUGCAUCUCAAUAUUAAUAGCCUCCUUUCACAACGAUACAUUUACAGACUUCAUAGCUUGGUCAAAGGUAGAUAGAGUAUCUUCUAUUAGUAGGACACAAAAAUCAUCUCCAAAAAUUUUCGCUAUUCUAGGACGCUUACUUCUCCUAGGUUCAGUCUCUCCUAUAGGUUCACUUAUUCUAGGUCUGCUAGAGCUACCUAUAAGCUCAGCUUGAAUAGGUCUAUUUACUCUAGUCCUAAAAAGAAAAAUAUUCUCAAAGUACAUGGCAUCUCUAGCCUCAAUAAUAGUGUUAUUAGAAAUUUCACUAAUUUUAGAAUUUACCACCAAAAAUCUAUUUACAUUGUUAUCUUUUGUAUAACCUACAAAAACUGUAUCCACAGUCUUAGAUCCAAUAUUUCUCUUUUUAUUCUCAGAUAUCUUCACUUUAGUUAGGCACUCCCACACUUUAAAAUAAUUAAAAUUAUGCUUUCUACCUUUCCAAAACUCAUAGGAAGACACAUUAAAAUUUUUGUGAAAAAUUCUAUUUAAAAUCAUACAUGCAGAAAUCAAAGCUUCCCCCCACAAGUUUUUCUUGAAGUUCCUAUAAGGUUGAAAGUUUCUACCAUUAUUUUUGGGAUGCACUACUAGGUUGGCUUGGGUCGAAGGUUCACUGGGCUUCUUAUCUUUACCUCGAUUCGACUCUUCUAUCCUAAUGGAUCUUAGGACAUAAUUCAGAGAUAGCUCUCUUUGAUUGUGGUUAAGAUUAUUUGCAUGGUUUAAUCAAGAGAGUGACAACUUAUCUAUAAGGGCGGCAACUAAGAAACUUUUAUCAAGAUCUACAGCACUAGGUCUAAACUACUCAACUAUAUGCUUAAAAUCAUGAAGCUGGUUAGAUAUAGACUUAUUAUUUACCAACUUAAAUUUAAUUAGAUCUGACGCCUAAUAUCUCUUCUGGGUAGGAUUAACCUGACCACACUUGUUUUCUAAGAAAGUCCAAAGUUUCCUAGCUACUUUAGCACUAUAGUAUAUGUCAUACAAUUUGUCAGAUAUGGUACUAAGAAUUUGGUUUAAACAAUGGUAGUUGAUCAUAUUAAGGUCAAUAGGAGGUAUGGUUCUACGUGUAGAUGUAGUUGCAGUUUUAGUAGAGGGAGGAGUGGAUCCAGCUUGGGCUUGGCUUCGAGUAAUCGGUCUGUUGACUGCAGUCUGCGUUGCAUCUUUAGGUGCAGAUCCAUUGUCAUUCUCAGCAGUAUUCGAGAUAGCAAAAAUCAACCUAAGUAUGGUGAGCCAGAACCUCAUUUGGUUUUGCCACCUCUUAAAAUUACGACAAUCAAAAGUGAAAGAUUUCAUCGAAUCCUCCAUAAUAAAAAGUCUGUUCACAAAUAAUUCUACUGUUAUGUUACAAAAUAGUUUUGAAUUUCAAAAGAAUAACAAUAAGAUAUUCUACAUUUUAUUCAGGGAGAUUACGAAAUAUAUAUAUAUAUAUAUAUAUAUAUAUUAAUUUGUAGAAAAAAAUAUUUUAAUUACUAUAAUAAAAGAAACAGAAAGAUUAAAUUAAAAUUUCGCUUUUAGAUAUUUAUUGGAGGAGGUUGCAUGAGUUCAACCUGAACUCGGGCAUACCUAAGAGCAAAACUCUAUUCUCUACCUCGUCUUUUUCUUUUUUCUCGCCAUUGAUCUUUUGCGCAACUUUUUGCUGACUUUCUUAUAUUUUGCUGGAUUUGAAGCUUGUUGGGUUCGUCUUGUGCCACCUUUAAAGCUAGCCGACAUGGUGGAACGUGGUCGUUGUAUCGCUAAAAGUAAUUGCCCGGAAGCCUCGCACAUGGACGAGCAAUUUCGUUUCUAGGACAGUGCUUUGUACGCCACGAUCCACAUGCCUUUUCUAAUCUUUUUCUUUAUAGUAUUUAUUAUUUAAUUUCUUUCUCGAAAUUUUUCUAAAACUAAAAUUAAACUUUCAAAUUAUUUUUAAAGAAUAUUUUAAUAAAAGAUCAUAAAGAUUUUCCAUCAGUCGAUGGGUGCGGCGGUGAAAUUUGCAUUGCUUUUUCAAGGUCCCAUCGUAAUGGCCAUGCCCGCAACAGGCUGUACCUCAGAAUUGACAACCUUGAUCCUGCUCGCAUCCUUUUAAAGGGGAAGGCCUAUCCCCUUGGUCUCCUCCUCGGCAAUGAAAUUGUCUAUCCCUUGGUCUCCUCCUCGGUGAUGAAAUUAUGAGCGGCUCUCGUGUCCACCAACGCUCAGGUAGCCCUACCGUUAAGGGUUGUAUCAAUGUACAAGAGCUCCUUGUUGAGAGGCUUACUGCUGCUUGCCAGCCCUUGAACCAUGUUGACGAGCUUGAGCGCACCUAUCUUCGUCGGUUCCCCAUUACCCAUGCCUGCUCAGUCUGGACAGCAUUCACCAGCUUUUUCUUUUGGGCAAUCCCUCACCCAAUGGUUCACAGCGCAAAUGUAGCACGUCAACUUUUUUGGCGGCAGCAUAGGACCCCUCUCGCGGCCCUUUACUUUCCUUCUGGUCACGGCGGUCUCCCCUACCCUUAGCCUUGCUCUCUUUGGGUACCUUGUUGCAAGAUGGAUCAGCCCUGUCGUACUCAGGAAAUUUCUCCACCAUGGCAAUUGCAGAGGCUACGUCCUUGACGUUACGCCCCACAAGCUCCUUGUUCGCCUAAGGUUAGAGCACGUUAAGGAAUAAGAACAAGAGAUCUUCCUCAACCAUGUUGGUGAUGGACAAUAUAAACACAGUAUUCUUUGACAAACUCCUUGAGUAUCCCAGUGUGUUUGAGCCCUCCCCCUUGCAAGAUAUUUGACGCGCUUGGGGUAGAACUGCGCCUUGAGCUCGCGCAAAAAAUCCUCCCACUUCUUCAGGUUGCAUUGGCCUUUCUCGGCCUCUGCAGAGAGCUGACGCCACCACAGGAUCGCGUCAUCAGCAAGGUACAUGGACGCGGCAUGGACUUUUUCCUCCUUAUCGUUCAGCCGCAGUGCCUUGAUGUAGCACUCCAUGUGCCAUAGAAAGUUUUUGAUCUUCUUUUCAUCGCAAGUACCCCUGAAAUUUUGAGGCUCAGAAACUCGUACUUAAGAAGCAGACUCUCUUUGUGGUUCAUGCCCAGAUACAACGGCUUUUUCAAGGAUCGUCACCCGCAUCUUGAGGUCCUCGACCACGUCAACUCGAGCAACGAGUUCCUCAAUCAGCUUCUUUUGCUCCUUGUCACGACGAGUCAUGUUGCCUUGAAUCUUUUCAAGUUCGCUUCGAAAGGUUGCUAUGGUAGUAGCGACGCUUUCCUCCAUGCUGUGGACUUCGUCAUUAAAAGAGUUAAAGGAAUCAGCCGUUUUGGUGUAUCUUUUAUUCAUUUUCAAUAUUAUGUACUCCAACAACACAAUAUGGUCCUCUAGCAAUAUGGAAUCCCUUGUGAUUGCCCUCAGUUCUAUACUCUUGCCCCGUUUGGAGGGCUGUCUUAGAGGGUCACCCACAGUAUCAAUGACGACAGCAUCGGAUGCCGACAUGGUUGCUUCUCGAAUUGACUCUAAUACCAACUGUCACAACCUUAGUGUUUUUACUUGCAAAGCCCGUGCGGCGCCCACCUUUCUUCGUAAAGAUGAACAAGUCUUUGUCCUUAUUGCCAUUACCUUCCUAAAUGGUCACAGAUAUCACGAAUAUCCCCUAAUGGUUGGUUUUCAUCCAAAAUAGCCAUUACAGUUAUAAAAUACACAUUUAGUCCUUAUCUUUUAUCUCAUUAAUGAAUACUGCUUAAAUUUUCUAUUUGCUGAUAUACAAAAUUUUUCAAAAAUGCCUUCUUAUUUUUUUAUCGAUAAUUUUCAUCGUCACGCUUACAUCACACGAAUAAUUUGAAUUCCAAAUUAAAAUAAAAUUAAAAUUAAAAUUCAAUAUUUAAAUUUAAAUUUAAAAUCAAAUUCAAUAUUUGAAUUUAAAUUUUAAAUUUGAAUUUAAAAUUGUGAAUCGAUUUCAAAUUCAAUUUGAAUAUUAAAUUUGAAAUUCUAAAAUUUGAUUUAGAUUUUAAAUUUUAAAUUUAAAUUUAGAAUUUAAUAUUUAAAUUUAAAUUUAAAGUGUAAAUUUUAAAUUUUAAGUUUUAGAUUCUAAAUAUCCAAUUGUAAAUUUUAAAAUUUUGUAUUUUAAAUUUAAAUUUAGAUUUUGAACUCAAAUAUCAAAAUCUAAAAUGUAUUCUAGAUUUUAAAUUUGUAAUUAAUAUUCAAAAAUUAAAAUUAAAUUUGAGAAAUAAAAUUUUGCAAAACAAAUUAUUAUUGCAAACAGUGAAAAAAUGUUGCUAAACAGUUUAGCAAAAUUAUUUCAGAAAAAUUACUUUCUAAGACAAAUAUUCUAUAGCUUUUAACUAAAAUUAAUUUCUAAAUCAAAAUUAAUUUUUCAGAAAUCACUUUUGCAACAACCAAGUCGACAAGUCUUGCUUUUCACUGUUGUGGCAUUUCAUUUGAGUUGUUAUUUCCGAUCAGAUAUUGAUACUUUACCAAUACUUAAUUGCAUGAUUAACAUUUAGAAUAUAGCAUUUAAUUAACAUAAAUAAUUACAUUUGUAAUAAAAUAACUUUUGUGUGAAAAUUGCACACAACAUGUUACAAGAAAAUUUUAUUAUAAUGGAGUCUGUUUAACGAUGCUUAAUUAGCGUUCUCAAACUGUUCCACUAUAUAGUAAAUACAGAUGCUUUAAAACAAUAUAGUAAUAUGAACUAUGUCAAAUCAAUUUAUUAAAAGAUAAAUUAAAGUGCAUCAUUAGUUUUUAUUUUUCCGACACUUUAAAGUAUCAAAAUUUCAAAAAUCCUAAUGCUUUAUGGUUUUGGAAUAUGUUGCAUCAACGCAUGGCAUAAAUGUCAAUGUAUGCGUAACGACUCUUUAUUUGACAACAAUUUUGUCGAUACUUUCAAAUAUAACAGUAUACUAUUUUAGAACAUUUUUUGAUAUCAUUGAUUAUCGAGAAAGCUUCCUUAAAUAUUAAUUUUCUUGUAGUAUAUAUCAUAGGGACAAUUUCAUAACUACCCCAAUAUCUAAAAAUAUGUCAAAUACCUCAGAAAAUAUCAAAAUAUCACACAUGCCCUUCCAAUGUAAUGAGCUAUAUCAUAAAUGCCCCUACCAUUAAUCUCACAUCACGGAGCGUUACUUUAACCUUAGUUCCAGACUAGUUUAAUAUUAAUUAAGUUUUAAAAUACCAAUUUUAUCCCUAAAUAGUUUCAAAGUUUAUUGUCAGAUUUUUAAUUCAGAUUUUAAUUUAAAUUUAUUUGCCCAAAUUUAAAUUUAAAUUUAAAAUUUAAAAUUUGAUUUUAAAUUCAAAUUGAGAUUUUGUACUUAAUUUUACUUUCAAAUCUAGAUUUUGAAUUAAUUUUAGAUUCAUUUUCAAACUUUAAUUUUGAAAUUCAAUUCAGAAUUUGAUUAAUAGGAGCAAGAUACAAGAAGAACUCCUUCACAAGAGCAAUUAGAAAACACUAUAAUUUGGUUGCUUUUCAUUUCACCCAAAUCGUAUGUAUAGAGUUUUUCAAAUGACUAUUUAAAACUCCCAAAAUGGCAAAACAUUCAAGUUCAGCUUGGAAAACAUGUAAAUAUUCACUCCUAACAAAAAAUUUAAAAANCAGUAUAGCGCGUAAAUCCCACAGCGUAGUGCACCCAUCCUACAAAGAAUAGUGUGUGGAUAGUUGUCGAUCAAUUUUAGAAUGCAAAGACUACACUCUUUUCUUUACAAACAUAAUUUUUGGAGACACGAUCGAACAGCAUUUUUCUUUUUUUGAAACAAGCUGGUAUAAAUCUGUAACUAUUAUUCCACUCUUUUUUCUGGAAUAAGUUUGUUCCCAAGUAAGAACAAGCUUAAUUAAAAUUUAAAUUUAAAUUUAAUUAUGAUAUUAAAUUAUUAAUUAAUCUAAUUAAUAUUUUAAAAUUAUUAUCUAUUGCUUAAAUAAUAAAGUAAUUAAUUAAUUUACUAUUUAUAAUUAAUUAGCUGAUAAAAAAUUAUAAUUUAAUGUUUUUAUCCGUAAACUAAUAUUUAUAUUGAUCAAACAUUAAUAUUUUUACUAUUCUAAUUAAUUUCCUUACAAUUAAUUAAUUAAUAUAUUAAUAUAUUAAUUUAAUGUGUUUAUAUUAAUUAAUUAAUAUAUUUUCAUUUCUUAUACAAUAUCCACAGCUAUAAAUUUAUUAAUAUAUUAAAAUAUUUUUAAUUUAUAUUUUGAUAUUAAUUAAUUAGAUAAAAUAUUUUUAAUUUAAAAUUAUAACUCUUAUUCGUCUAUUCCAAACUAACUAUCCAAACACUAUUUAUCUUAUCCACAAGAACUACCUAAUUUCAUUCAAACGUAAAAUUUGCCUAAUUAUUGCUUAUAUCUGAACUUAUAUCAAUCCUUGAAAUAAGCAGUUACUUAUACCCGAACCAAAUGCAGCCAAAAAAUAAAAAUAAAGUAAAUGUACUAAAUUGUGAAUUGCAGCAAGUGGCACUUCUCUGUUCUUUUAAUCUUGAUUUCAAUGUAGUUAAAUGAAGAUUCCAACCGAAGCUUCCAAUAUAUAUAUAUAUAUAUAUAUAUAAAAGUUCCUUCAAAAGUUAUUUACAAAUAACUAAAUAGAUACGCAUGAUAAUAGUACUCUACAUCCAUAUAUAUUUGAUCUCAUGCCACGCUGAUAGUGAUGUCAAUUCAUAUACUUUUUCAUUUCUGCGCCAUGUGCACGAACUUAAUUUGUCAACAUCCAAGACCUAAGUAUAAUAUAUAUGUACAAUAUUGUAUUUAAUGUUACAUAUAAUAAUGCAUUCUUGUGGUUGUUGGAUCCCUCUAACUGAGAUUUAUCUCGAAGAUGAUAAUCUCAUAUUUAUUAUUAUAUUUUAAAUAUUCUACGCUGCGGUCGCCCAAGAUUGUUCCGUGUUACACCAGAUGAAUAAAUAUUACAGAUUUUCUCCUCAACAGGACAAUAUACAUAUUAUAAAUAUGUAGGCAUUUUUUUUUUUUCCAUUGUUCGUCUCUUUUAAACCUAACGGUCGCGCGAGGGUGUGUCCUUGAAAAUGUGGGGUUGUGUAAGCUACUCUUUUUCCCCCUCCACGACUCCACGGUUUAAUUGCUUAUUAAUUAGUAGCUAGCAUGCGUACCCACGUGGUAUUACGAAUCCACGAACCGCAUCAACGUCAUCAAAGAAAUCUCAGUCAACGCCCUCUCCUCGAACUUUCUCCCUCUUUUCCUUCAGCGAGUACACUUCUCCCUCUCCCCUUCUACACCUGUAUUCUUAAUUUUGAGUGCUUGUCCCUGAGCUCUUGGUCGAUUUUAAUUUAGUCCCCAGGCCAACUUUUCCUAAUUAAUUUGACAUUAGUGAUUCAAUUCCCACAAUCCAAUCAGUUGGUAGGGUGUAAGCAAUAAUUAUUUAUUUUUCCAAUUACAAUAAGGAAGGACGAGACAAAUGUCAGGUUUUAAAUGUCGAGGUCAAUGCAUGGGCUCUAAUGUGAAAAUUGAAAGUUCGAGGACCAAAGUGAAAUGCGGCCAAUAUACGAACCCAUGCAAUAUUAUUAUUAUUAUUAUUAUUAGUUUAUUUUACAAUAUUAUGAUACAUUUUUAAAUUAUUUCAUAAUUUACGUGUACACAUAUCCUCGCUUUGUUUGUCGCGUAUUGUGCAGGUAAUAAUAGUGUAGUCGGAUAAGUAUAUAUGUUGAUGACUAGGACAAGUAAUGGGUGGUCUACGAGGGCGUUGUGGAUGGCAUAUAUGUAUAUAUAGAAGGUGCUUCGUGAAGUCUCUAUGCGUUCAAAAUUAAAGUUGUUUUUGUCAAUGAAUGGUCAAAUAAAUCAGCUAAGGAAGACGUGCGGAAUGGUUGAUGUGGAGAUACCGGAUUAAGAUGGGGCACACCAAUCUGCUAGAGUGUUCACACGCUUGUGUGCUAUAUGCAUCGUGGUAACUUAAAAGGAAAUUAAGAUCCUUGUUUUGGCUUUGACAAAGGGAGGAUAUAUAAAUUAUUUCUCUGUGUGUGCCGUACUCGAUCUCUUAAUCAUUCAUUUUAUUUCAUUCUUCAGUUAUAAUUGUCUAUUUGUGCAACAAUUAGGGUUAAUUAUUCGCUAAUUAGAAUGUACGUACGUAUAGAUUGAAAUAUGUAUGAGAUGCCUCAAAUGAGCAGUUGCUUUGAUGCACGCGUAGGGCGACGACCUUGCUAGUGCAAACAAUGUUUUCCUUUAAAGAGAGAAAGGAAGAAAUUUCGUAGGUCUAUGGAACCGACAUCUGAUUAUAUUAAUCUAUUGAUAAAAUUACUUGGUGAUUAAGAAAAAAAUAUAAAUUAUUAAACAUAUAUUAUCUCAUUUUGGAGAAAUAACUAUAUAUAUUAACUAGCACAUUAAUCCUCAAAUGACCUCGCAGAGCUAGAUUGGUCUAAAAUUUUUAUCAAGAUUGAAUUACUUAUAUUUGAUAUUCUAUUUGAUUUAAUGGUCAAAUGUCUAAUUAAGUGAUUGUAUAUUUGGAUGAUCGUGAUUGCGACUUGUAUAUUUGACUAUGAAGACCAACCUCACGUACGUACCGUGUUUGAUCAGCAAUGGCCUUGUCCAUGUUACGUUUUACUGGUUAUAGUACCUUCUUAAUUUUUAAUAUAAAAUGGAUGGCAAAUAGAUUUAUCACCAUCUUAAUUAAUCAUGUAGGGCGUGAAUCUUGCAUUAAAUUAAACAGUAGUAAUGGGUGAGGAACAUAUACAACCUAGCUAGCAAUGCAUGCAUCUACCUCUUGCAUUAAUUGAAUUGUAGCUGUUAUGGUACUUUUGGCCAUGCACAUGUAGGAUGCAUGCACUAGCUCGUAGCAUGCAUUUCGUUGGAUUUUAAUUACUUGGCCAGGAAGAAUAGUGUAAGAAUCCGAAGCAUGAGGGGUACAUAGUUUUACUCUACAUAAAGAAGCAUGAUAGUUAAUUAUAUCAUGCAUGCAAAUAUGUAGCAACUUGUGAGCACAUAGUAAUUGUGGGCAAGCUAGUAUUUAGGACUAAGGGCAUUUUUAGAUCUUUUUAGAGGGUGAAGUGCAAUACGGAUAUAACUUCAGAAAAGAACGCAUAAUAAAAAGAUAUCAUAGUUUCAUUGUAUAUACUAACAAAGAGCCCGCGCUUUGUAGCGAGACCUUUUGUUUUAAUAUAAAUCUUAGCUAUUAUAUAUUACAAUAAUAAAGAUUAGGGAUACAGUAAGCUGUUGUUUAGUUGGAUUGAUGUAAUUAUAACUAUAGUAUAGCUAGAGAUACAUUGGAGUUGAAAUAGAAUGAUUACAACUGCAUUUAUCUUUUUUAAUUGAAUGAAGUAAAAAAUGUUACAACUAUAAACAAUUUGUUCAAUGUUAUACAGUUAGAACCGUUUUUAUAAAUUUAUUACUUUAUAUACGAUUGUGAGAUUACCUAUAAUAUAGAAAAAAUGGAUAAUUGCUUAUAUACCCCUCAAAACUUCGAAAAUAUCUCAUUUACCCCUAACUUUUUUUUUCUUUCCAAUAUACCUCUCAUAUUUUCCUCCGUUAUUUCAAAAUAACCCUGCAGUUACCACCCGUUAAGUUAAUUUGGGUUAAAUAUGAGUUAAAUAUCUACCACUGUUAAAAAAUAUUAAAAUACUACUUUUGCCCUUAACUUAAAGGCAAAUAAGAAAUGUUGGUGAUAGUAGAAGAGUAUAUUUGAAAAGAUCAAAAAGAAAAAUACUUUUUGUGCCCCUAACUUAAGGGCAAAUAAGAAAAGUCAGUGAUAGUAGAAGAGUAUAUUUGAUAGGGCAAAACAAUACUUUCACAGAUAUAACAGAGUUUAUUAACAGAUUUUAACUCUAGGGAUAUAAUAGAAAUAGAUUGGAACGUAAAAAAUGUAUUUUCAAUAUUAGCCUUCUAAGAGGGGUAAAUCAGAAAGUCGGAAAUUUUUCAGGGGUAUAUAAGCAAUUGCCCCUAGAAAAAAAUAGCAUGUUAUCCGCUUCGUUUAUUUUAUUUAAAAAUAAACUUAGCUGAAAAUGUGAAUCAACUAGAAUUCGAACUUAAAACCUUGGAUACCAACCACCAAGCCAUUUGCCACUUGCACUAGGGACAAUCAAUGCUUAUCUAUUGUUGAAACUUAUUCUCUUCAAUUGUUAUGGCUGAAACUGUGACUAAUUUAAGCAUAAUUUCAGUUCAAGCAGUUAGAACUGACAGUUAAAAGUUUAUACAUUAACAAUCAUACAUUGUAAAAGAAUCUAUUAAAUUAGAGCUUAAAAUUUAGGGUAAACUUCAAAUACCACCCAUGUGGUUUCGCACUUUCUCACUUUAGUAUCAUAUGGUUUAAAGUGUAUCAAGUUAGUGUCCUGUGGUUUCAUUUUUAUCUUUUCGUCAGCUUUUCCGUUAAUAUUUUAUUAAAUUAUAUAAAAAAAACUUAAGAUAACCCACCUAGGUUUAUCAAAUAUUCACUUUAAUAUCCUUUAGUUUUAACUUUGUCACUGAUUUAAUGAAAAAAAUUAGUGGAAUCGAUAAUAAAAAGAAAAAAAUGAAACCAUAAGAUACUAAAUUGAUACACUUUAAACCACAUGAUACUAAAGUGAGAAAGUGUGAAACCACAUGGGUGAUAUUUGAAGUUUUUCCUAAAAUUUAUAAUCUGAGAUUUGGGUCUCACAGUUGACUCAGGUAUCUACACAAAUAUAUACAUGCCUCACGUUUAUCAACCUAAUUUUUUGAACACCAAAUCACUCCUAAGGCAGCCAAUACAUUAUACUUUAGAAAUCAAUUAUAAGAAAAAUUAUGAGUAACAAGGGUCUAUACUCAAUAAGAGCUUAAGAUAAUCCCCAGCCUAAUAAUAUAAUAUAAUAAUAAAUAUAAUAAUAAAUAACUAUAUAUAUAUAUAUAUAGUUGGACUUAGCUAUAUAGUAGCAAAAUUCCAUUGUUACUACCAGUUUUUUAGUCUUUGAUUAACUCUUUUCAUUAUUUUCUAACCACGAUAAAUACAUAACCCAGUGGGGAACAUUCAAUACUCGGGGACCCAAACUCUAACCGACAAUACAUCCUGACCCUAGAAACAUAUAUUUCAUUCCAAAGUUAAAAACUUGAUAGCAAAAGAGCGUUUACUAUUAAUAGAAUUCCACUCAACACUCUCUCUCUCUUCUCUCACUCUCUUCACCUCGUCUUUUUGGUAGUCCUGAUUAUUCAAGAUCUCUCUCUCCAUCUCUUCUAUCUUCUCUCUUCUAAUAUAAAUAUAUAUAUAUAUAUAUAUAUAUAUGCAGACAUACCAUUAAACACCAAUGACUGGUGCAUAAAUUUUCUGCCAUUGCAUUAAACAAUGUGUGGUUAGGAUCGCAUGCCCCUAGGUAUGAGUUGUUACAUAGUUUAAUCGAACGAUGAAAUUCGAUAAAAGGUUAAUAUCUAACAGGAAGAAAACUUGAUAGGCACCAAUAACUUCGUACUACUCGAUAGAUCCCACCAGACUCUAUACUAUAUAAAACUAGACUAAUAUACUACUUCAUAGCACCGAUCAUUGGUGCACCUAAUUUUGCUAUUGAUUUAAGAAUGUGCAGUUAGGCAUGAUUGGCCUUCUAGGAUUGAGUGGUGUUUGUUAAUAGAUGAUCUAACGGUGAAAGUGAUCAAAAGGGUAGAUCAACGACGAAAAACUUGAAAAAAAAAAAAAAAAAAAAAAAAAUAGCACUAAGGCUUCUGCUAUUAAUACCAUAGUAGCCGCACUAUUAUAUAUAAUAUACUAUAAUAUUAUAUAUAAAAAAAAAAAACAAAAAAAAAAAAAAAAAAAAAAAAAAAAAAAAAAAAUAAAAUAAAAAAAAAAACACAACAACAACAAAAAAAAAAAAUAAAAAAAAAAAAAAAAAAAAAAAAAAAAAAAAAAAAAAAAAAAAAAAAAAACAAUUGAUAAGAAGGCUUCUGUGCUCUCAGGAGACGGAGCACUCGCGUGAUCCUGAGUCAUUUUCGAUGAGGAAUUUUCAAUUGAUAUCGGAACUCCGUUAGACCUUAUCUAGGUUUUGAAAUUUUUAGAAAUAAUUUUGCGAUUUUUGAUAUCUUACUAUGAUCGAAAUAAUUCAAAUCAAUAAUUUUUUUUAAUGUUUGAUAUCGCGACUUUUCAAGUCUAAACGUGUGAAUAUUCAAACAAUGAAAAUUUGAACAAAUUCUUUAUACUAUCUACAACCAGACAAUAUUUCUGAUCGAAAAUUUUAGUGCUAUAUCACCACUUUUUAUAGAAUUUUUAUUUUCAGCCGUUAAAAAUUAUUAAUUUUAAAUUCUUUCGAUUGCUAGUUAAAUGAUAUUAAAAAAUCGCAAAAAUUAUUUUCUAAAAAACUUCAAAUACGCUAGAUCAAGUCUAACGGAGCCGAUCGUCGAUUCGUAAAUUCCAGCAUCAAAAAUGGCUUAGGAGCAUGGAGGCCUCCGUACUCCUGAGAGCAUAGCAGCCCUACUAUAUAUAUAUAUAUAUAUAUAUAUAUAUAUAUAUAUAUAUAGAGAGAGAGAGAGAGAGAGAGAGAGAGAAAGAGAGAGAGAGAGAGAGAGAGAGAGAGAGAGAGAGAAUUAUGCUGCUAUACUAUCAAUAGUAUCAAGUCCUUGGUACUAUUGAGUUUUUGGCCGUUGGAUGAAAAGAUGCGCGGUUAGGAUGAUAGUG
This 62745-nucleotide long non-coding RNA is filed under the name Ananas comosus (pineapple). RNAcentral's name for it is "long non-coding RNA (ACOM_LNC041824)". The record is from RNAcentral. Lineage: Eukaryota; Viridiplantae; Streptophyta; Magnoliopsida; Poales; Bromeliaceae.